GCUCAGGUCGACAACUGACGGCAGCCGUGUGUGAAUUUGGGACGGCGAUGUGUGCUGAAGUUUGUUGUGAUGUACUACCUUUAUGUGUGUAUGGACCUGUUGAGACUGUAUGUGUGUAUGGACCUGUUGAGACUCCAGUACAAUUGUUGAACCCUCGUGUGGGUUAAGUCUCAAGUGUGAGUGAACUUGGAACUAUCUGAGCAUUUUCUGCCAGUACAACUUGUUUUAGACUUCAGUACAAUUUCUUUCCAACUAUUUUCUGCCUGCAUCUUUUGGUAGUACUCCCUCCGUAAAGAAAUAUAAGAGUGUUUAGAUCACUACAUUAGUGAUCUAAACACUCUUAUAUUUCUUUACGGAGGGAGUACUAUUUACUACUCCCUCCGUCCCAUAAUAUAAGAAUAUUUUUGACACUACACUAGUGUCAAAAACGUUCUUAUAUUAUGGGACGGAGGGAGUAACUUGUUUUCAAAUCAGCCAUACCAGCAAACGAUGCCUGGAGAAGAUCGCUCCCAGCCACACCAUUAUCAUGAUAACAGCAGUUUGAUCAAUAAUCUGGCUGCUGAUACAGCGCCCAUCAGGAGAAGGGAGAACUUCAAAACAGCAGGGUUACAAAGGCAGGCAUGCAAAAGGAUGUACUCCCUCCAUUCUCCCUCCAUUCCUAAAUAUAAGUCUUUGUAGAGAAUUCGCUAUGGACAACAUGCAGAUGUAUGUGGAUGCAUUUUAGAGUGUAGAUUCACUCAUUUUGCUCCGUAUGUAGUCCACAGUGGAAUCUCUACAAAGACUUAUAUUUAGGAACGGGGGAGAGUAAAUGAAUAAACAGAACUGCAGAGCCAUGCAUGAAAUACUGCCAGCGAAAAGGGCCAGGGAAUGUGCAACACAAAUCAACACGCAGUGGGUAUUAAGGAUGGCCUGUUCUCGAUAACAAGAUGGUGCAGCCUAUUCAGCAUGUCUUCAUAAGGACUACUACAUGACUUCAGAUGAAAGCUAGAAAAACUUUCUGCCCAAAAUAACCACAUCUUUUUUUUACAUGGUUUAUUAAAACCUUUCUGCUCUACUGGAUUUAUUGACGGUAAACAGAGCACAUUAUCUGAAGAAAGAAGUGCAAAAGUACAGUACAUGUACCCUCUGUUCAGCAGGCCAACAGACCGAAUGACAUGGACUAAAACGUGAUGUGAUACAUACCCCCAUCACAUGAGUUCAUCACAGUAGACUGAAUUGUCGAGGAAUGAAUUGUUUAUAGAAUGCUUGCUCGUCCUUCCUUCUUGGCAGCCGGCCUGUUCCCAGGGAAUGCAGUGCGGGAUACAUCAACGAGGGCCUUGAAGCUGUAUGGCUCAUGCAUCGACAGCUCCGAAAGUACCUUCCUGUUGAGUUGGACAUUCUCCUUCAUCAGUCCAUGCAUGAAGUUGCCAUAGUUCACCUGGGCAGUAAGUUCAGACAAUACAUCAAACACAUGUGCGUGUGCGUUCAGUAGCAAAACUAGAAACCCGAUAACUUAUACUUUGUUACAGGGACGAAGCUAGAAAAAAAUUGAUGGGGUCAGGUUUAUGACAGUGGGGUCAUCUUCUAUAAAUGAGUAAUGAUUAGUACUAAAUUAGUGAAGGAUUUACUAAUUUCAUUGGGGUCAAUUGACCCCAUUGCUUACAAGGUAGCUCUGUCCCUGCUUUGUUAUCGUAUUCUGCCUGGUUUCUUCGGAAAAAAAUAACAUGAGAAUGUAACAAACUCAUUUCCCUGUCAAACCUCGUAUGUUAAUAGAUACUACAUACCCCAUGGAGUCGUGUACCAGCAUUGAUGCGCUCGAUCCAGAGAGACCGCAUGUCCCUUUUCUUGUUGCGCCGAUCCCUGUAAGAAUAUUGCAAUGCUUUUUCUACACGCUCCCUGGCGAUUCUUAUGCAGUUUUUAGCCCUUCCUCGGAAUCCCUUGGCUAACUUAAAAAUCUUCCCCUUGUUCAUCUUUGAGGUCUUGGCUCACACAGUAUUUCCUCCCUAUAUUCACAACAUAAAAGUAAGAAGUUGGAGCAAAUUAUGAAUUACUGUAAUGAGAUAGAAGUUCAGAAUAAAACAUAGAGAAGUUGGAGCCAAUACUUCAGACAUUUAUUCCCCGAGAAGGGAAUGCAUAUGAAUAAAACAUACUUAAGAACAGUUAUUUUCAACCUAGACUUCUUCAGGAACCAGUUUAAGCUUCUCUACCCACAAGAGCUGUGGCAUAGAGAAGUCUAUAGACUGUAAGUAUCAGUUAUUCUGCCCCUUAGUUUAUUUUAUGUUCUGAUGAAGAGGCCAUGGACUGUAAUUAUGUGAAUCUUAACUUAUAUUGUGUAAUUUCUUGCUGUGUUUAUCAUAGAUAUUAUUAACAUCAUAAAACAAAUAUUACAACAAAAAUAAGAUGUAAUUGGUACUUGACAACAAGUUAGAUAAAAAGAGGUUGUGAAGGCAUUACAAGGUUUCCCCCCAAGAAAAGCAGUCACGAUAAAAACUAAUCAUCAAGGUACGACACUAGCAGCAAUAGCAUCAUGAACUGUGCCGACAGUCCGUUUUGAAUGACUCCACCUAUUUUGAAUCGCUUACACUCAUAAUUUCUCUUUGUGCGCUCACUGAACUUGUUUAUCAAAUUAACAUACCCAAGUAAGUUCAAACAUCAGGUGGGACAGUUAUUUACAUGUACUUCUUCGAUACGCACAUCAAGAGAAACUAUACAGGUCAUAGGAUCCAUCAUUACUUUCCCCCAUUUCCCAUUCUCAUCUAUGAUAUGUGACAAAAUGAAUGUUAAAACUGGAUAUGUGCUCAUUUGUUUAGUGACUACCAGAGAUGAAAAAAAUUGCGCUCAAAAAGGACCGGGUACUGCAUACUACUGAAUUAGCCGUCCGAUUAAAAAAUAACGUGAAAAUUAUAGCAAAUGCAAGCAGCAGUAGAUGUUGCAAAUGUGUGAUCUGCUUGCUAAUUCAACCGCCACCAACAAAGAAUCAUUUCCAACCAAUCCCGCACUAUCAGGUGGCAGGCAAGGGGCGUCAAGGGAUUCCGACGGUCGCGAGCUACGGCAAACAAGCACGCGGAUUCAGUAGCAGGAGCCGGGCCGGCCGUGCCGCGCGCGGUGGAAUCAUACACACCUCGCACGCGCGAGCGGGAUAUGUACAUGUGUGUGCAAGCGCGUACGUACCGAGAAGCAGGGAAGAAGAGCCGGUGCAGAGUCGGGAGCAGCUCGGAGUAGAGGGAGGCGACGGAGACCGGCGUCGGCGGCGGGCGGCGGGCGGCGGAGUGAGAGCUCGGGCGCGUGAGAGGAGAAACCUAGCGCUGCGUUUUCUGUGGAUCGAGCGAGCACGGGUGUGGGCCGAAUCAUAUUCUUGGGUGCCAAUCCGGCCCACAAGACGUCAAUAGCACCCGCGCCGCUAACCAGGGCCGGCCCCUUUAGCUGCCGCGCUUGUACAUCACUAGCCUCAUACGUUCAACGCUAUAAUAGGCCAGUCCAUAAAGUUCGCCUCCGACGUUUGUAAAAAAGGAAAGCAGACAACGCUGUGUGCAUGCAGAAAAUCAAAUAAUAUAUUGAAAUGAUUAUUUAUUUUUAUAUAAUAAUCGACAAAAGUAUAAGCAAUGAUUUUUUUAUGCAAUCAACACUGUGUUUCAUACUUUUACAUAGUGUUCAUGUAAUUUAAGAUAAGUUUUCUCAUACCUUAAAAGUAUUCCUGAAAUUUGUAAAAAUUGUUCACAUAUUUUUUUAAAUAAAUCAUGAAAUUUAAAAGGUUCUCGUACAUUUUAAAAACCAUGUACUCCCUCCAAUCCGAAUUAAUUAACGCAAGCUCAAUACAAUGUUAGUAAUGAAGAAACUGUUCCCAUUUUUUAUAAAAAAGUUCAUGUGAUCUUAAUAAAUGGUGGCUGUCGUGGCCGCGGGUGCCGCCCAAGGGGCUGCUCGAGGAGGCCAGGAGGAAGCUGCAACAGAGGAGGGACUGCGCGAGCCAGAUACUCAAGGCCGCCAUGGCGAUCAACAUCGAUGUGCAUGCUGAGAUGGAGAUCCCGGAAGUGUACUUUGAGUCGUUGCCACUUCCAAGUUUUCAUCCGUUUCCAAAUGUGUUAUGGGCAGUUUCCAGACUUUUCUCAUUUCCUCUCUAUAAGUGCUCUUUGUUUUGUGUAGGCCACAGUAGCAUGGUGUGAACCCCGCAAAAAAAAAAAGAAGUAGGAUGGUGUGCAUUUUCCAAAGCAUCCCCACAUAUACUGCAGACUCCAGUUCAAAUCUUUUUCUCUGCUUAUUCUCUUUUGUUGGCAGUUCUCCCAGCGUGAUUAUACAAAAGAUCAAACAGUGAUUAGGGAAUCAAAACAUAAACACUGAAAAGUUGCAUCGAAACACCUAAACCAUGAUAGCUCAAUGAAGGGAACCAGACAGAUUAUCUCAAUUUGGAAGCAAGUCGGGCCACUCAGUGAAGGGAUCAAUAAAAGAAGCCUUUUUUGUUUCAGGGUAUCAAAGAAUAGCGGCGGGUGACCCUGUAGGUUGAUGGCAAAGUCCAUCAAACCAUUCAUCGAGAGCUGAUGGGAAGAUCUUUUGCACAAAAUUUACCAGUGAAAUAGUAUAACUUUGAGAAUUGAGACUAAUAUUUUUGAAAGGAGAAAUAACUAUCAACACCUCGAGGAGAAACUUAUAUACAGGCGAUUCUCAUUCCAGCUAAAUUCUCAACUUCUGAUGAAGCCAUGAUUCUACACAGUUUCCGACAAACAACAAAUUCCCACACAAUACACUGGAAAAGGGGAAUAAGAAAUGUAAAUACAGGCGAUUCUCUCCCAGAUCACGAAUCAGGACAGGUACUCAAAAGGUUGGGGCGGCUGGGGCUCGUCGUCAACAGCCAUGGCAGAGGCACCCGACACCGGCUGCCCUGUCGCAGGGGCGUCGGUGAGCACAACAAGCUCCUCGGCCUCGCUGGGCUGCGUGUCUCGUAGGAGGAUGAACCCGCCGCAGGGGGCGGGCCUCACGGGACGUAUCGGCUGCCCUCGAUGAACUUGAUGAACUUCUCCUGCAGGGGGACGACGCAGGCUGGGUUCGACAGGAUCUGGAAGGCCGGUUCUGGCUCUGCGGCCUUCUUCUCUGCAGUGCUGUCCACCUGGGAACAAAGAUUGAGAGAGACCGGUCAAUCCAAAUGAGGCCACAGACUGACUGGGGUUGGUUCAUUACUGAGCAGCUAAGGGCUAGCUAUGCUCAACUGUGCUGUGAUGUCUAGUUGACUAGCAUAUGGUUUAAUUAAUUAUGGCCUGAACCUACCAAAGUUUGCAAAAUUCUGCCGUGAUGGGAAAAAGUUGAAGCCAAGCAGAUACAGUGAGGUUUUAUUCUUACCUGCAUUGCAUCAGCUGCCUUGCCAGAAGUAGAACCAGAAGCAUCUUCCGUUGUUUUCUCCUGGUUAGCUUUGCUUUCUGCUUCUGCUGCUGUCUUCUCCUGGUUAGCAGCAGCUUUGCUUUCUGCAUCCUUCUUCGCCCUAGAUUUUGCCUUGGCAUAGGUUGACAAAAUGGCCGUGGGCAGCUCAACAGCUGAAGUUGUAGUCUGCUCGGUUGUCGGCUUCGGAUACUCAAAGAGGGACGGCUUAGCAUGCGACAUAAAUUCAAACUUCGGCACUUCCAGAUUCGAGUUGAGACCGAUGAUGGCCGUUGGCGAGAAGGCCAGGCUGAUGAAGUAUAGGAGAGGAUACCAGUGCCAGAACUGGGUGAAAACAGCGAGGCCAAUCACAGCAGUGAGCUUGUCAUGCUUGUUCCUCGAGCGAAGUUUGAUUGUGACGUUCCUGCCACCGGCAUCUAGAAUGCCGGAAGCAAGGAUGGCGCCCAUUUUGCUCAUGAUGUCCUCGUGCUUGUCAAGAAUGAUCUUCUCCAACUGACGCCUAAAUGUUCCAACAUGAGAAUCAAAGGACUCAUUGGUCUGGAUCAUGACCAUUGCCAUAGCAAUUAGAGCCCCCUGGCGUACAAAGUCAACAACGUCCGAUGUGAGAGGCUCCAACAAAGAAAUGGCAUCACUUAACCCUGUGCCUGCACAGGAUAUCCCAACAGCUAGAGCUGCACCAUAACGAACGUGUGGGUUGUACGAUUCAGAGAGCAGGGACACAAUUCUUGGAGUCUGCAUGAUCAUAACAGAAGAUGUAAGUUGUGGAUCAAAGCUAUUGACAAGGUGUGGAUCAAAGCUAUUGACGAUUUUUUAUUUUAGCAUUUUUUUUCUAUUAGAUGGCAAAGAGAUGCAGCAGCAUAAAUGCAUAAUGAACAGCAGGUCUAUGUUGUUCCUUGGAAUAAAAUUGAAUAGAGGGCAGACCUGCUCAGGUUCGUUGUAUAGAACAAAUCCAAGACCCAUAACUGCAGUCCUACAAACAUCAUCACUGACGUCCGAUACAGCAAAAUGCAGCAGCUGAUGGAUGGCUUUGUUAUUUGCAGUUCCUCUGUACGCUAGAGCCAAUGCGUACAUACCACCGUAACGUAGUAUGGGAUCUUGAUCUCUAGUCAUUUGUUCGAUCAAGGUGUCAGCUUCCUCCUCCCUGCCAUACAUUGUCAAUGCGAUGCCAAGUGCCAAACCCCUGCGGAGAGAGAGAGAGAGAGAGAGAGAGAGAGAGAGAGAGAGAGAGAGAGAGAGAUGUCAGAAACAUGAGCUAGAUGCAUCUUCAGAAAUAUCGCAACAAUUAUUGAACAGCACUGACCUGAUAAUCUUUUCAUGCUGUGUAUCAUGUGCAUAAGCAAGCAUCUCACCGGCCUUCUCACUGGCUGUCCCAACCAUGAGCAAACCCAUGCCAAUACCAGCUGCUUCACCAGCUACUGCACUGUCUGUGUAAAGGACAUUCUUUAUGUCCUCAAACACUUCCUCAUCUGCUGUCCCAAGAGAUGCAAGCCCAAGUCCCAAACAGGCACCAUGCUGGAUGACCUGUAUAAUACGGUUUUGAUUAAGAAAAGUCACAACAUAAUUAGCAUUACGCGAGAAGGACAAGGAACAAAAUGUCACCUCUGCACUUGUGUUGCAAAGGCUUUCACGGAGGAAUUGUUUGAUUCCUUCGCCAUGGUUGGCAUGAAUCAAACCUAAAGCAUAGAGGGCACCACCUUCUGAAUAUGGACUGCCACCACCAACUGCACCAUUUUGAGGUAGGUACGGGGCCAUCAAAGCCCGACCUUGCUGAAGGUGGCCUCUAUGAAUGACACCCAGUCCAGCUGUUGCACUAAAUUUAGCCCAAUUGGUUGCCUUGCUUAACCAUUCCUAAAAGACAAUACCAAAAUGAGACAUUACAGGGGCGAAAAAAUAAACACUGCAUGGCAACAAAACAACCGGAUUUUUUAUUUAUUUUACCAGAUUCUCUCUUAAGAAGGUAUCUACAGUUGUUCCUGCAUGCAUGAUCGCAUUGGAACAAAUAGUUGCACUAUGGCAAACAUUGCCACUCGUUUCCACAGCCUGCUUUAUUGUCUUCAGAAUUAGAAGAUCAGACAUACGAAAGAAAUAAAUCCAUCAAGGUGAUGUCAGAUAUAAAAGUUGCAAGAGACCAAGGUUCAACGUUUAGGACAUAGUAAGUGUACCUGUUGUGGCUAUACAAAAACUGCAGCGUAAGCUGAAUAGACUUCUCCCCUGAUAGUAUCGCUUUAAGUUUUGCAAGCCUAUCAGCAUGCGCUGCCUCAUUUGGAUCCACUGGGUGAGCAUUUCUGUUUGAAGUAGUUGUGCCAUCUCCCAUCUGAACAUCACCCGCUGGUUCUGUGCUAGUUGCACCCGCGUUAACAGUCUGAUCAACCGGUAAAGCUGGCUGACCAGGAGUCUGUGAGUCCAGGCGAUUCCCCACAUUCAGAAGGAAGGCCUGAUUUUCAUUUUCCACUAGAUCAAAAGCAAUUUGGUAUGCAAUGAGAGCAUCAUCCUGCAUAAUGAACACAAUAUCUCAAGUAAGCAACAGAGACCACAAUGUAAGUAGUGUGGUGGGCAGAGUAAAGAACAAACAUAUACCUGGCUUCCAGAAAGUAGUGUGUCCAAUAUAUCCGCAACAGUUUCAGGCUCGCCCAGAACCAUAAGGCACUGGCAGAUGCUCAGAUAAUCUGGAUGCGGCAAAGUCUGGUAUAUUUUAACAAGACAGCGAAGAACCUGGCAAUAAAAUGAAUGAUUAGAUCAACACAUAAAGAAUGUUAUUUUUUGAUUACUCUAAACUAAUACUACUUGCUUUUAACUUAAUAAACCAACCAUACUGCCAAAUAAAUUUUUAACAUAAAAAAAUUAGGAUAUAUAAAAUGCCCCUACCUCAGAACGAUAUUCACGGUGACUAACACAUUGAUGAGAAAGGUUGAUGCAAUAUGAAAGAGCCCCGUGAAUAUUAGCACACCGAGCAAUUGCUCCCUCCAGCUUAUCCAGUCUCCUGCAUUCAACAGCCAUACCCAUGGCCUGUUGGUAUUUCCCGUCAAGAAUACACCUGCAGCAAACAGUAACAUUAGCUGAAUACUCCAUCUGAUAAAUAAGAGGAUAUGUGCAAAUGGUAGGAUAUAUNNNNNNNNNNNNNNNNNNNNNNNNNNNNNNNNNNNNNNNNNNNNNNNNNNNNNNNNNNNNNNNNNNNNNNNNNNNNNNNNNNNNNNNNNNNNNNNNNNNNNNNNNNNNNNNNNNNNNNNNNNNNNNNNNNNNNNNNNNNNNNNNNNNNNNNNNNNNNNNNNNNNNNNNNNNNNAUAUAUAUAUAUAUAUAUAUAUAUAUAUAUAUAUAUAUAUAUAUAUAUAUAUAUAUAAAAUCAUACCUCUUCAACAUCCUCUCCACUAUGGUCUCUAGUCUAGGAUCCACAUUCUCUUCUUCCUCCAUAGCUUUAGAAGCUCUUGUCUUGAAACUCGCAUAUUCAUCUAAUGCUUUGGCUGAAACAAAAGAAACACCAAUUCAACACUAUGAGCAAAAGAAAUUCAUGUGAAAUACUCCCUCCGUCCCAUAAUUAAGAGUUAAGACAACUAGAAUGAUUGAGAAAUAAAGACAAGUCCUCCACCUAAAAGAGCCUGAGCAUAAUCUGAAUCCUCAGAAACAUCAAACAGAGGUCCAGCACCAAGUGCAUACGACAGUGCAUCAUUUAACUCGCCCAAGUAGUAAAACACCUACAUGAUAAUGAUACGCAGCAGUCAUCAUCAAUAUAAGCAAUGCAAAAUACGCCGCUUCUAGAAAAGGUAUAAAAUAACAUGAGAUCCUACCUUAGAGACAACUAGUGCAGCAAGCUGUCUCUGGUCAAAUUCGUCGUCUUCAUACAUGCUCUCGCUGCAGGCAAAAGGAUAUGAUGGAAACAAGUUAUUGAUUUGCUUCCUUGGAAAUUCAGACAAGAAAUUUAUAAUCUGAACUUCGGUAACAAACAAUAGAUUGACUUCAAAACAUGUCAUCCGAAACUAUUGCAACUUUGCAAGUAACAGUUCAAUUGUCAGUCUGUCAAAGAUGUUUCUUAGCACAGGGCAAGCAUUACAACUGAUUAUAAGCAACCGAGCGAAUCAAACUCGUAAAACAACUUGCACCAAACUGAAAGUUGAAAGCUUUCUGAAUUGUCUCCCCUCCUCAGUUGACACCUCACUCCUACAACUGUCAGUUAUAUCUAUCAAAGUGCAAAGAGUUGAAAUUUUUACGAUUGCUACCAAAUACAGUACCAUCGUUUUGUGAAUUCGCUUCGAAGUCGAACUCUGUGUAUCCCUCAGGGAGGGCACAUCCGCGCACUCGGACCGGACGAGGCCAAGCAAACGAAUCGCGGGACGGAAACAUCAUCUAGGGAAACUUGUCUCCUACCGAAUCCUCGUCAGCCGGCCGGCAUCUAGGGCGCCGGCCGAGAGGCGGCGGCGGCAACUAGGUAUCGCGGGAAGGAUAGAUACGAGAGAGGGAGAGGGGCUCACAUGGCGGGGAUGCUGGUGGAGAUCUCCGGGUAGAAGAGGUGGACGACGGAGUUGAGGCUGGCGAGCGCGUGCAGCUUGAGCUCCUCCGCCGGCUCGUGGAGCAUGGCGAGGAUCCCGCCCGCCGAGCUCACCGUCGCCGCCGCCAUGGCCGCGUCGGCGAAGAGGUCGGGGUGCGCGACGGGUCUGUGGUUCGGUUGGGUGCGGGGCGCGUCGUGAGUUGGCUUGCGGACGAGCACGCGAGACGAGGUACGCCGGCGUUGCGGGCGAAUAUAAGGGCAGGACGGCGCGAUGGGUCGGUCGACUAGGAUAGGGAGUCGGGCGACCAGUCCGACGCCAAAUCCUUCUGCGCUCCUUAACGAAACGGGCCGGCCCACUUAGCACUGGUGUAGGAGUGGCCUGGCCGGUUUCUUUUGUGUGUUUUCUGUCCGUUUUCUGCUGCCGUUUGUUCAUUUUUCUAAACUUUUCUGUUUUCUAUUUAUUUUCCUUUUUAUUUUUCUUCAUUUUACUUUUCGUGAACUUUUCUUUUUAAAAUUAGUGAUUUUUUUAGAUUCAGAAAUUUUGACCAAAUUCAUCAACUUUUUCCAAAUUAUCUAAUAUUUUACCAAAAUUUGCAAUUUUUUCUGAAAUUCGUGACUUUUUCAAAUUUUGUUUUUUAAGUAAAAAAAAUUCAAAUUCAUGAACUUUUUUAAAAUUCAUGAACUCUUAUCCAAAUUCAUUAAAUGAUUUAAAUUCUUGCAUAUUUUUCAAAUUCAUGAAGUUUUUCAAUUUUGUUAAGUUUUUUCAAAACCCGUGAACAUUUUUUUUAUUCUAUGCUUUUUGAGAGCACAUGAACUUUCUCGAAAAAGAAAAUGGUCAACAGUCUAAGUCAAAGGUCAACUUAGCGAAAUGUGAACCAGUCAAACCAUCAACCCGCUCAGCCAUUCGCUCACCCGUGCCAUGUGGUGAGCACCAAUUUGUUGGGCCGGCCCACAAUCCCUCUCACGCGAGCAUCGUUUGCUUAACUAGGGCAGCAGGUGCUGACGAGGAGGUAUAUAGUCCUAUUACGUUUGUUGACUUCAUUCGCGAUUAGGUGAAAGAGUCAGUUUUCGUCCGCACCUAGGUGAAGACGACGCUUUCGUCCAAGCAUGGGCCAAAGAUGGGCUCUUUGUUGCGGCUCCGGGCGAAAAUCAUCUCUUCAGUCAAUGUUAGACCGAAGAGGGCUUCUAGGUCCACCUCUUCACGUAAACUGCCAACAAAGUUGCAUGUCGUUCUUAGGGCGGAUGAAAAGUUGCUCUUUGUUUUGUUGUGGACGAAAAGUUUUUUUUCCUAAUUGCUCUCAUCAUUCCCUCUCACGCCCUUUUCCUUCCCGCCCUUUCCCUUCCCGACAUCCCUCCCCCGCCCUUUUUCUUCCCGCCAUCACCUCUCCUGUGCUUUUUCUUCCCGACAUCUCACUCCUCCUCCUUUGUUCCUUUCCACUCGUUCUCUUGCCUCGCUAAUUCUAUUAAACUCCUCCCCUACUUGUUGAUUAUGAAUGCCCCAAACUUGUCCUCCAUCGUCCUCUGAUUAGCCUUCCCUCACCUUCAUCUUCUUCAAAAUUACCAGAAUCUAUAUCACCCGCUAAUCUAUCCUCAUCUUUCUCUUCCAUCACUCUGUGCAUUUCCUUCCCUUUCACAUUCCCAUUAGACGAACCACUACCACCAAUUACUAUUGAUUGACUGCUCAACCCUACUUCAUGACCAAUGAAAAUGUGUAACACAUAAUUUGACUCUACAUCGGGAUGGCUAACAUCCACUGGUUGUGACCCAGGUGGAUCAAUCUCAUUAUAAUUAAACGACUGGCUACCUUGGUCGGGUUCAUACACCCCACCGGGUCAAUGGAGGGCGUAAUUUUGUUUAGUUUGCAUCUUUAUGUGGUCUAGGUGGAGCUCCCAUAUUGCCUAAGUUCUGUACGAGGAAAUAUCUCGAGAGUAAAAAUUAACAUGACUUUCAUUUUAAAAUAUUAUUUAAGCCUACCAUUCAAGACCAUGCUUAGGUGCAUUUAUCUAUACCAAUAUAAAAAGACCCAAAUGGACAGAUCCAAACCAUCUCGACCGUCAAAUCAUUUUAUCUAGCGGUUCAAAUCGCUCCAAUAUUGAGCACCAAAUGCGUUUAACACUCUAAUUACCCACCACUGCCAUUGGUUAUAAAAACGUUGUCCCUCAAAAUCUGCCAUGUAAUUAAUAUUUUACCAUUCCUGCGAAAAAGUAAUUGAUAUCUUACCAAAUACCAACAUGCAACAGAUAUAUUUUACCUAAUAUAACGUGCAACUAAUAUCCUACCUAAUAUAAACGUGCAUUGCACAUACAUUAUUACUAGUUUAGUUAUAACAUAGUAAAAAUGUUCAGCUCGGUGCGGGUGUGUGGCGUCGCGAGUUCGGUUGCGGACGAUGAGCACGCGAGACGAUGUACGCCGGUGUGUGAAGGUACGGGCGAAUACAAAGGACGGCGCGAUGGUCGACUAGGAUAGGGAGUCAGACUAGUCCGACGCCAAAUCGUGCUCGGUGCGCAGACACCCCCGACCGAUACAGGUCAGCCCACUUCAUAUUGUACCGGUAUGCGGUUUCUAGUUGUUUUUUUUUGGCCGGUUCUUUUUUGUUUUUUCCUGUCUCUUUUUUGCUGGUUUUGUUAUUUUUUUCUUUCAAGUUUUGUCUUCAUUUUUCCUUCAUUAUUCAUUUUUAUUUUCAUGAAAAUUUCUUUUCCAAAUUCAUGAUUUAUUUUAAAUUCACAAAUUUUGUCCAAAUUUGUGAAAAAACAAAUAUCUUUUCCAAAUUCGAAUGUUUCCAAAUUCAUGAAUAUUUUCCCAAAUUCACAAAAAAAAUCAAAUUCAUGAAUUUUUUCAAAUUUCAAAGUUUUUCCAAAUUCACAGUCUUCCCUAAAUUUCUUAAACUUUUCAAAUUUGUUAACUUUUUAAAAACCCAUGAAUAUUUUUUUCAAAUGCUGCAAUUUUUAAAAUCACAUGAACUUUUCAAAAAAAAGUCAAUGGUCAAGGGUCUAAGUCAAUGGCCAAUCUGCCAAAAGGUGGACCAGUCAAACCAUCAACCCGCUCAGCCACUCGCUCACCCGUGCGUGUGGUGACCAUAGGUUUGUUUGGCCAACCCACAACGCUCUCUUGCGCGAGCACCGUUUGCUUAAUUGGCGCACAAGCGCUACGAAGGAGGUCUCUAGCUUGAAUGUGUUUGUCAACUUCGUUCGCGGCCAGGCAGAAGAGCCAGUUUUCGUCCGCACCUUGGUCAAAGAGAACGUUUUCGUCCACAUAUGGACCAAAGACGGGCUCUUCGUUGCGGCUCCGGACGAAAAUCAUCUCUUCAGUCAUUGUUAGAUUGAAGAGGGCUUCUAGGCCCAUCUCUUCGUGUAAACUGCCCAACGAAGUUGCAUGCCAUUCUUAGGGCGAACAAGAGUUGCUCUUCCUUUCUGUUGAGGAAGAAGUCUUUUUUUCGAUUGCCCUUCAUCAUUCCCUCUCACGUCCUUUUCCUUCCCACCAUCCAUCUCCUGCUCUUUCCCUUCUCGUCAUCCCUCUUCUGCCCAUUCCCUUCCAGCCGUCACCUCUCACACGCUUUUUCUUCCUGACAUCUCACUCGUCCUCCCAUGUUCCUUCCCACCCUCUUGCCUUCACAUAACGAAUUUCAUAGUUAUAUCUUGCUUUCACCGCAUUUUGGUGUGUUUCGCUUCCAUGUCUUUCUUCUCCACUAUCUCAUUUAUAGAUGAGUUGUGUUAUGAGAGUUGAAUUCAGGUUUGGAUGAUCAACUAGAAUGUUUUCCUCACAUAAUUAUAUGGAACAAUAUUAGUGACAACCCAGUGCACGUUUCACUUGGGCCUGUGGUCGUGCACCUUGUCGAGAACCAUUUUAAGCACAUUUCAAAGUUAUAAGUUUGUUUGACUUGAUAUGUGUGUGUGUGUGUGUGUGUGAAAACCCUAUGCACCGACAUAGCCCACUCCACUAUGUCACUUCAUUCUUCAGUUGUUUCUUUAUGGCAUAAAUAGCGCCUAUUUGGACUUAGUUCUAAUGAUAUACCCAUACAAACUCAUGGACUUCCAUCGAUUCAUGGUCAGGCCGGCUGCAGUUGAGAGGCCCUGAUUCCAUGCAUAAGGAAUUGACACCUCCUCCUCGUCCUCAUCCUUACUUUUUUUAGAACAAAGACGCCAGGAGCGUCCGGCUUUAACUGAAUAAAGCCCACAACAGACAGCGUACACGUGAAUAAAGUCUUUGUAAGUGCAUCUAGUGCCACCCCUAGUUGGUUUUGGAGUAUUGACGACAAACCUAGUUGAGGGACUAAUGUGUUUGUGAGAAUUGCAGGAUAACACAGGUAGAAGUCCCUCAUUGAUUCGGUUUUCCUAUCAGGGAUGACCCCUAAAAAUGUAUGAAGACAUUGAUGUCAAAGGUGGUAUAUGAAGAUAUUCACAUUGAAGACUAUGACAAGAGAAGACAUCGCAUGAAGCCUAUGGAGCUUGAAGACUUAGAUCUUUCGUAGUUCUUUUUCUUCUUCUUUGUUGAGUCAUAGGAACCACCGUACUGUUAAGUGGGGUCCAAGAGAACCAGUCAGAAUGACUGAAGUGAUGCUUAACCAAAACCUAUGUCUUCGAGUGAAGACUAUGAGAGCGAAUCUUGUCCAAAGUCGGACAAGUCAGCUUUGCUUGUAGCCCAAGUAAAGUUGCCGUGUGAGUUUGAAAUCUAACCGUUGGAACACAUAUCAGUUCCUUAGUGACCCAGGGUCAUUUCGGACAAAUCAGGUCGGGUUGCCUAGUGGCUAUAAAUAGCCCACCCCCUACAACCAUAAAUGGUUGGCUGCUCAGAGUUAGUAUACGGCUUUUGUCGUUUGAGAGCAACCCACGUCGAAGCCUUUGAGAGAGAAUUCCUUGCGAGGAUAAAGCCCUAACCACCCAGAGCCAAAGAGAAUUAGGCAUCACUUAAGUCUUCUUGUCUGUAUGAUCUGAAGACUUAUUACACUUGAGGACUGUGAAUCCUCCAGCCGGUUAGGCGUCGCGUUCUGAGCAUCCAAGAGACAUUGUGGAUCGCCGGUGAACGAAGUCUGUGAAGGUUUGGGAGUCUACCUUGAAGACUUACCAAAGUGAUUGGGCGAGGUCUGUGUGACCUUAUCUCAAGGGGAAUACGGUGAGGACUGGGUGUCCUGAGCUGCGUGUUCAGGACUGGGUGUCCGGGACUGUGUGUCCUCAGGUUUAAAUACCUAGCCGCCCUAACCAGACGUACAUUUGUCACAGCAACUGGAACUGGUCCAACAAAUCAUUGUCUUCAAUGUGUCACUGGUUUCAUCCUUUCCUUCCCUUUACUUACUGUUGGUCCUUGUGAAGUCAUUGUAUGAUUGCACUAUCUUUUAUCUUCACUGAGUGACUGCGUGUUCUGUUUGGCUUCAUAAUAUCUUCCUACCUGAUCCUUACUACAUUGCUGCUAUUAGUCAUUAUGCUUUCACUCCAUUGAAUACUUGACUAUGGUUUGCCUAGUGUAGUCUACCUUCCGCUGCAUGGUAAUAGGUUUAUUUCUAUCGUUUGUCUUCAUAACUUCUACGUUUUGAAGACUUUCAUAAAAAUCGCCUAUUCACCCCCCCUCUAGUCGAUAUAAUGCACUUUCAAUUGGUAUCAGAGCAAGGUACUCCCUUGUUCUGUGUGAUUCGGUUUAACCACCUGGAGUUUUAGCUAUGUCGACUACAGGGAUAAUCAAAGUCUCCACUGCAUGCCCCAUCUUUGAUGGAACUGAAUAUCCCUACUGGAAGAAUAAGAUGCGCAUGCAUCUUGAAGCCAUUGACGUCGACCUAUGGUAUGUCGUCAAGAAUGGCGUUCCCAAGGCUGGAGAAGGUGUCACUGCUGUUGACGUCAAGAAGUUCAUUCAACUGGACUCUACAGCCAAGAAUAUCAUCUGUGGCCAUCUGACCAAAGGACAGUAUGGCCGCGUGAGUGCUUUGGAAACAUCUAAGGUAGUCUGGGACUGGCUCUCCAAGGUCAACGAAGUCUCAACCCAGAGAGAUCAGAGAAUCAGUAUCCUUCACAACCUCUUCAACCGCUUCAAGAGAAAUGACAAUGAGAAUGUCCAGCUCACAUUUGAUCGACUCACUGACAUCACGAAUGAGCUUCAAGCCCUUGGCGCUACUGAGAUCACCAAGCAUGAAGUCAUCAAGACACUACUGAGAUCACUUGACAGUUCGUUUGACACCCUAGCCCUGAUGAUUCAAGAACGUCCUGAUUUCAAGACACUCGAUCCGUCUGACAUACUUGAGAGGCUCAACACACAUGAGUUUCAGCUUUCUGAGAAAAGAGAUAUCUACGGUCCUAACUAUGGGCGAACUCGUGCCUUGAAGGCAAAAGCUGUCUCCUCAUCUGAAGAAGAAUCUGACAGCAGUUCUGAUGAUCCUGAAGACAUUGGAAGGAAACUUGCUGUGCUUGUGAAGAAGUUCCAAAAAUUCACGAAGAAGAAAGGUUUCAGAAAGUCUUCACGAUCAAGCUCAAGGAACGAUGAAGCUUCUGCUCAUGACUACAAGAAGAAAACAUGUCACAAGUGCAAGAAACCUGGCCACUUCAUCUCUGAGUGUCCUCAGUGGGACAAUGAGAACAAGAAGAAGAAGAAGAGCAAGGAAUAUGACUCUGACGACAAGAAGAAGAAGAAAUACUCAAAGUCUUCUUCCAAGUCUUCUUCAAAGUCUUCAUCACACAAGAAGAGCUCAUCUGGCAAGGCACGUGUGUUUGUUGGCAAGGAAAUGGAUUCAGAGGAGGAGUCCGCUUCUGAGGAGGCGGAGGUGGAGUCUGAGGAGUCUGAUUCUGGCGUCGCAAGUCUGGCUACAACAUACGUUGCCAAGUCCAUCUUCAACACUGAAGACAAUGACCUCAUCACAGACACCAAUGCAAAUGACAAGGACUACUCCGCUCCUACCUAUUGCUUCAUGGCACGCGGUGCCAAGGUAAACACACGCACUACUCACUAUCAAACAUCCAGUGACGAUGACUCUGAUUGUGGUUCAAAACCCAGCUACAAAACACUUGCUAAAAUUGCAACUGAACAACAUUAAGCCAUGGAACAUAUUCAAAAACUGUUAGACAAAAGCGAUGAUCUGCAGGCGCUGAAAUGACUCGAUCUGAGUCCUUAAGUGAAGACAUAAAAAAUCUUCACGUUAAGUAUGAGGAACUUGAAAGUCGUCAUGAAAUGCUCUCAACAACUCAUGAAAAGCUUUCCUAUGAUUAUCUUCAAAGAAAGCAAGAUCUUGAGAAAUUGAGAGCGGCUCAUGAAGAUCUUCAAAAGGAAAAUGAGUCACUUCGCGCCGAACAGAUCAGCUCCGCUCAGGAAGGAUUUGAACCACCAUGUCUUAAGUGCAUUGAGCGUGAUAAUGCUACUACUGUUGCUGAAUGUUCUACUGCUGCUACUGUUGCAAUAUCUUCAACUGUUGAUGUGGGAACUAACCCCUCUGCUGAGGAUUCCAUUGCUAUUGCUGAUGAGAAUGCUAGGUUGAAGACAUUGCUUGAAACAGGGAUGUACAAAAGUCUUAAAGGGCAUCCGACACUAUGUGAUGUCCUCAAAAAGCAGAUCUUGAACCGAAACCCGAGGAAAGAGGGUGUUGGGUUUGUAAGGAAAAUGAAUGCUGAUGGCUCUUACUGGAAACCUGAGCAGUACCCCAAAACCACAUGGGUUGCUGCAAAGGAAUCUUCAGCAGAUCUAUCCAAUCUAUCUGGCUUCUCUUGUGCAAACCCCAUUGUCAUUGAUGAAUCCUUUGAUGCAAACUAUAAAAUGUUUAAGAAUCAGAAUGGAGAAGUGUUUGCCAGGUACAUUGGUACUAACUGCAAGAAUGGACCGCCUAUGAAGAAGAUCUGGGUCCCGAAAAAGUGUCUGGAGAAUCUUCCUGUGAAUGUCAUCAUGACACCACACGUGAAGAAGACAAACCUCAGACCACAGGCUUCAUACGGUCCAAAGGCAUCAUACAGAUAGAGGACUCACCUGAGUCGCACUAACGCAAAUGUUUUGCAGGGAAACCAUACUCGGGCCUAUGAAUAUGAGCGUGGUUCAUCAAACCGCCAUGUUCAUAAGACCAAGAACUAUUCUUCUUAUUCUUAUGAGUACUAUUGUCCGCCUGCAAGACUUUUUGCUAGGGCUCCAAAGCCAAAGUUCUCAGACGCUGCACUUAGACUUAUUGCUUCUAAGCCACCCUUGAAGAUGUGGGUGGCUAAGAAAGCUUAACUCUCUUUUGCAGGGAAAGGUCUCCAGCAGAAAACCAAAAUCGUCUGACGCUAUUGCUGGGGACCUUAAACAUCUUGUAGGGCGCAAGAUCAAAUGCCCGAAUGGUCUUACUAUUGGGGAACAUAGUAAUUUCAAAAAAAUCCUAUGCACACGCAAGAUCAUGGUGAUGCAUAGCAACGAGAGGGGAGAGUGUUGUCUACGUACCCUUGUAGACCGAAGCGGAAGCGUUGACGCAACGUAGAGGAAGUAGUCGUACGUCUUCCCGAUCCAACCGAUCCAAGCACCGUUACUCCGGCACCUCCGAGUUCUUGGCACACGUUCAGCUCGAUAACGCUCCCCGGGCUCCGAUCCAGCAAAGCUUCGGGGAGGAGUUCCGUCAGCACGACGGCGUGGUGAUGAUCUUGAUGUUCAACCAUCGCAGGGCUUCGCCUAAGCACCGCUACAAUAUGACCGAGGUGGAAUAUGACGGAGGGGGGCACCGCACACGGCUAAGGAACGAUCACGAAGAUCAAGUUAUGUGUUCUAGGGUGCCCCCCUGCCCCCGUAUAUAAAGGAGCCAAGGGAAGGGGGCGGCCGGCCAAGGAGGGCGCGCCAAGGGGGAGUCCUACUCCCACCGGGAGUAGGACUCCCUUCUUUCCUAGUUGGAGAAGGAGAAGUGGGAAAGAGGAGGAAGAGGGAAAGGAAAGGGGGGGCGCCGCCCCCCUCUCCUUGUCCUAUUCGGACUAGGGAGGGGAGGGGCGCGCGGCCACCUCUUGUCUCCUUUCCUCUUCUCCCUUAGGGCCCAUGUAGGCCUAAUAACCCCCGGGGGGGUUCAGGUAACCCCCCGGUACUCCGGUAAAAUCCCGAUUUCACCCGGAACGAUUCUGAUAUCCAAAUAUAGGCUUCCAAUAUAUCGAUCUUUAUGUAUCGACCAUUUUGAGACUCCUCGUCAUGUCCAUGAUCACAUCCGGGACUCCGAACAACCUUCAGUACAUCAAAAUACAUAAACUCAUAAUGAAACUGUCAUCGUAACAUUAAGCGUGCGGACCCUACGGUUCGAGAACAAUGUAGACAUGACCGAGACACGUCUCCGAUCAAUAACCAAUAGCGGAACCUGGAUGCUCAUAUUGGUUCCUACAUAUUCUACGAAGAUCUUUAUCGGUCAGACCGCAUAACAACAUACGGUGUUCCCUUUGUCAUCGGUAUGUUACUUGCCCGAGAUUCGAUCGUCGGUAUCUUAAUACCUAGUUCAAUCUCGUUACCGGCAAGUCUCUUUACUCGUUUCGUAAUACAUCAUCUCGCAACUAACUCAUUAGUUGCAAUGCUUGCAAGGCUUAUGUGAUGUGCAUUGCCGAGAGGGCCUAGAGAUACCUCUCCGACAAUCGGAGUGACAAAUCCUAAUCUCGAAAUACGCCAACCCAACAUGUAACUUUGGAGACACCUGUAGAGCUCCUUUAUAAUCACCCAGUUAUGUUAUGAUGUUUGGUAGCACACAAAGUGUUCCUCCGGCAAACGGGAGUUGCAUAAUCUCAUAGUCAUAGGAACAUGUAUAAGUCAUGAAGAAAGCAAUAGCAACAUACUAAACGAUCGGGUGCUAAGCUAAUGGAAUGGGUCAUGUCAAUCACAUCAUUCUCCUAAUGAUGUGAUCCCGUUAAUCAAAUGACAACACAUGUCUAUGGUUAGGAAACAUAACCAUCUUCGAUUAACGAGCUAGUCAAGUAGAGGCAUACUAGUGACACUUUGUUUGUCUAUGUAUUCACACAUGUAUUAUGUUUCUGGUUAAUACAAUUCUAGCAUGAAUAAUAAACAUUUAUCAUGAAAUAAGGAAAUAAAUAAUAACUUUAUUAUUGCCUCUAGGGCAUAUUUCCUUCAGUCUCCCACUUGCACUAGAGUCAAUAAUCUAGUUCACAUUGCUAUGUGAUUUAACACCAAUAGUUCACAUCAUCAUGUGAUUAACACUCAAAAGGGUUUACUAGAGUCAAUAAUUUAGUUCACAUCACUAUGUGAUUAACACCCAAAGAGUACUAAGGUGUGAUCAUGUGUUUGCUUGUGAGAGAAGUUUAGUCAACGGGUCUGCCACAUUCAGAUCCGUAUGUAUUUUGCAAAUUUCUAUGUCAACAAUGCUCUGCACGGAGCUACUCUGGCUAAUUGCUCCCACUUUCAAUAUGUAUCCAGAUUAAGACUUAGAGUCAUCUGGAUCAGUGUCAAAACUUGCAUCGACGUAACCCUUUACGACGAACCUUUUUUUUAUGUCCAUAAUCGAGAAACAUAUCCUUAUCCCACUAAGGAUAAUUUUGACCAAUGUCCAGUGAUCUACUCCUAGAUCACUAUUGUACUCCCUUGUCAAACUUAGGGCAGGGUAUACAAUAGGUCUGGUACACAGCAUGGCAUACUUUAUAGAACCUAUGGCUGAGGCAUAGGGAAUGACUUUCAUUCUCUCUCUAUCUUCUGUCGUGGUCGGAUUUUGAGUCUUACUCAGCUUCACACCUUGCAACACAGGCAAGAACUCCUUCUUUGACUGUUCCAUUUUGAACUACUUCAAAAUCUUGUCAAGGUAUGUACUCAUUGAAAAAACUUAUCAAGCGUCUUGAUCUAUCUCUAUAGAUCUUGAUGCUCAAUAUGUAAGCAGCUUCACCGAGGUCUUUCUUUGAAAAAACUCUUUUCAAACAUUCCUUUAUGCUUUGCAGAAUAAUUCUACAUCAUCUCCGAUCAACAAUAUGUCAUACAUAUACUUAUCAGAAAUGAUGUAGUGCUCCCACUCACUUUCUUAUAAAUACAGGCUUCACCGCAAGUCUGUAUAAAACUGUAUGCUUUGAUCAACUUAUCAAAGCGUAUAUUCCAACUCCGAGAUGCUUGCACCAGUCCAUAGAUGGAUCGCUGGAGCUUGUAUAUUUAGUUAACACCUUUAGGAUCGACAAAACCUUCUAGUUGCAUCGUAUACAACUCUUCUUUAAUAAAUCCAUUAAGGAAUGAAGUUUUGUUUAUCCAUUUGCCAGAUUUCAUAAAAUGCGGCAAUUGCUAACAUGAUUCGGACAGACUUAAGCAUAGAUACGAGUGAGAAACUCUCAUCAUAGUCAACACCUUGAACUUGUCGAAAACCUUUUUCGACAAUUCUAGCUUUGUAGAUAGUAACACUACUACCAGCGUUCGUCUUCCUCUGAAGAUCCAUUUAUUUUCUAUGGCUUGCCGAUCAACGGGCAAAUCCAUCAAAGUCCAUACUUUGUUCUCAUACAUGGAUCAUAUCUCAGAUUUCAUGGUCUCAAACCAUUUCGCGGAAUCUGGGGUCAUCAUCGCUUCCUCAUAGUUCGUAGGUUCGUCAUGGUCUAGUAACAUGACUUCCAGAAUAGGAUUACCGUACCACUCUUGUGCGGAUCUCACUCUGGUUUACCUACGAGAUUCGGUAGUAACUUGAUCUGAAGUUACAUGAUUAUCAUCAUUACCUUCCUCACUAAUUGGUGUAGUAGUCACAAGAACAGAUUUCUGUGAUGAACUACUUUCCAAUAAGGGAGAAGGUACAAUUACCUUAUCAAGUUUUCUACUUUCCUCCCACUCACUUCUUUCGUGAGAAACUCCUUCUCUAGAAAGGAUCCAUUCUCAGCAAUGAAUAACUUGCCUUCGGAUCUGUGAUAGAAGGUGUACCCAACAUUUUCUUUUGGGUAACCUACGAAGAUUUACUUCUCCGAUUUGGGUUCGAGCUUAUCAUGUUGAAACUUUUUCACAUAAGCAUCGCAGUCCCAAACUUUAAGAAACGACAGCUUAGGUUUCUUGCCAAACCAUAGUUCAUACGGCGUCGUCUCAACGGAUUUAGAUGGUGCCCUAUUUAACGUGAAUGUAGCUAUCUCUAAUGCAUAACCCCAAAACGAUAGCGGUAAAUCAAUAAGAGACGUCAUAGAUCGCACCAUAUCUAAUAAAGUACGGUUACGACGUUCAGACACACCAUUACACUGUGGUGUUCCAGGUGGCGUGAGUAGUGAAACUAGUUCACAUUGUUUUAACUGAAGGCCAAACUCAUAACUCAAAUAUUUUCCUUCUGCGAUCAUAUCAUAGAAACUUUUAUUUUUGUUACGAUGAUUCUCCACUUCACUCUGAAAUUCUUCGAACUUUUCAAAUGUUUCAGACUUGUGUUUCAUCAAGUAGAUAUACUCAUAUCUGCUCAAAUCAUCUGUGAAGGUCAGAAAAUAAUGAUACCUACCACGAGCCUCAAUAUUCAUCGGACCACAUACAUCAGUAUGUAUGAUUUCCAACAAAUCUGUUGCUCGCUCCAUUGUUCCGAAGAACGGAGUCUUAGUCAUCUUGCCCAUGAGGCAUGGUUCGCAAGUAUCAACUGAUUCAUAAUCAAGUGAUUCCAAAAACCCAUCAGCAUGUAUUUUCUUCAUGCGCUUUACACCAAUAUGACCUAAACGGCAGUGCCACAAAUAAGUUGCACUAUCAUUAUUAACUUUGUAUCUUUUGGUUUCAAUAUUAUGAAUAUGUGUAUCACUACAAUCGAGAUCCAACAAACUAUUUUCAUUGGGUGUGUAACCAUAUAAGGUUUUAUUCAUGUAAACAGAACAACAAUUUAUUCUCUUACUUAAAUGAAUAACCAUAUUACCAUAAACAUGAUCAAAUCAUAUUCAUGCUGAACGCAAACACUAAAUAACACUUAUUCAGGUUCAACACUAAUCCCGAAAGUAUAGGGAGUGUGCGAUGAUGAUCAUAUCAAUCUUGGAACCACUUCCAACACACAUCUUCACUUCACCCUUAACUAGUCUCUGUUUAUUCUGCAACUCCCGUUUCGAGUUACUAAUCUUAGCAACUGAACUAGUAUCAAAUACUGAGGGGUUGCUAUAAACACUAGUAAAGCACACAUCAAUAACAUGUAUAUCAAAUAUACCUUUGCUCACUUUGCCAUCCUUCUUAUCCGCCAAUCACUUGGGGUAGUUCCGCUUCCAGUGACCAGUCCCUUUGCAGUAGAAGCACUUAGUCUCAGGCUUAGGACCAGACUUGGGCUUCUUCACUUGAGCAGCAACUUGCUUGACGUUCUUCUUGAAGUUCCCCUUCUUCCCUUUGCCCUUUUUCUUGAAACUAGUGGUUUCGUCAACCAUCAACACUUGAUGUUUUUCUUGAUUUCUACCUUCGUCGAUUUCAGCAUCACGAAAAGCUUGGGAAUCAUUUCUGUUAUCCCUUGCAUAUUAUAGUUCAUCACGAAGUUCUACUAACUUGGUGAUGGUGACUAGAGAAUUCUGUCAAUCACUAUCUUAUCUGGAAGAUUAACUCCUACUUGAUUCAAGCGAUUGUAGUACCCAGACAAUCUGAGCACAUGCUCACUAGUUGAGCGAUUCUUCUCCAUAUUUUAGCUAUAGAACUUGUUGGAGACUUCAUAUCUCUCAACUCGGGUAUUUGCUUGAAAUAUUAACUUCAACUCCUGGAACAUCUCAUAUGGUCCAUGACGUUUAAAACGUCUUUGAAGUCCCGAUUCUAAGCCGUUAAGCAUGGUGCACUAAACUGUCAAGUAGUCAUCAUAUUUAGCUAGCCAAACAUUCAUAACAUCUGCAUCUGCUCCUGCAAUAGGUCUGUCACCUAGCGGUGCAUCAAGGACAUAAUUCUUCUGUGCAGCAAUGAGGAUAAACCUCAGAUCACGGAUCCAAUCCGCAUCAUUGCUACUAACAUCUUUCAACACAAUUUUCUCUAGGAACAUAUCAAAAAUAAAGGGAAGCAACAACGCGAGCUAUUGAUCUACAACAUAGAUAUGCUAAUACUACCAGGACUAAGUUCAUGAUAAAUUUAAGUUCAAUUAAUCAUAUUACUUAAGAACUCCCACUUAGAUAUACAUCCCUCUAAUCAUCUAAGUGAUCACGUGAUCCAAAUCAACUAAACCAUAACCGAUCAUCACGUGAAAUGGAGUAGUUUUCAAUGGUGAACAUCGCUAUGUUGAUCAUAUCUACUAUAUGAUUCAUGCUCGACCUUUUGGUCUUAGUGUGCCGAGGCCAUAUCUGCAUAUGCUAGGCUCGUCAAGUUUAACCUGAAUAUUCUGCAUGUGCAAAACUGGCUUGCAUCCGUUGUAGAUGGACGUAGAGCUUAUCACACCCGAUCAUCACGUGGUGUCUGGGCACGACAAACUUUGGCAACGGUGCAUACUCAGGGAGAACACUUUUUAUCUUGAAAUUUAGUGAGAGAUCAUCUUAUAAUGCUACCGGCAAUCAAAGCAAGAUAAGAUGCAUAAAAGAUAAACAUCACAUGCAAUCAAUAUAAGUGAUAUGAUAUGGCCAUCAUCAUCUUGUGCUUGUGAUCUCCAUCUCCGAAGCACCGUCAUGAUCACCAUCGUCACCGACGCGACACCUUGAUCUCCAUCGUAGCAUCGUUGUCGUCUCGCCAAUCUUAUGCUUCUACGACUAUCGCUACCGCUUAGUGAUAAAGUAAAGCGUUGCAGGGCGAUUGCAUUGCAUACAAUAAAGCGACAACCAUAUGGCUCCUGCCAGUUGCCGAUAACUUGGUUACAAAACAUGAUCAUCUCAUACAACAAAAUUUAGCAUCAUGCCUUGACCAUAUCACAUCACAACAUGCCCUGCAAAAACAAGUUAGACGUCCUCUACUUUGUUUGUUGCAAGUUUUACGUGGCUGCUACGGGCUUAAGCAAGAACCAAUCUUACCUACGCAUCAAAACCACAACGAUAGUUUGUCAAGUUGGUGCUGUUUUAACCUUCGCAAGGACCGAGCGUAGCCACACUCGGUUCAACUAAAGUUGGAGAAACUGACACCCGCCAGCCACCUGUGUGCAAAGCACGGUGGUAGAACCAGUCUCGCGUAAGCGUACGCGUAAUGUCGGUCCAGGCCGCUUCAUCCAACAAUACCGCCGAACCAAAAUAUGACAUGCUGGUAAGCAGUAUGACUUAUAUCGCCCACAACUCACUUGUGUUCUACUCGUGCAUAUAACAUCAAACCAUAAAACUUGGCUCUGAUACCACUUUUGGGGAAUGUAGUAAUUUUAAAAAAUUUCCUACGCACACGCAAGAUCAUGGUGAUGCAUAGCAACGAGAGGGGAGAGUGUUGUCUACGUACCCUUGUAGACCGAAGCGAAAGCGUUGACGCAACGUAGAGGAAGUAGUCGUACGUCUUCCCGAUCCAAUCGAUCCAAGCACCGUUACUCCAGCACCUCCGAGUUCUUGGCACACGUUCAGCUCGAUGACACUCCACGGGCUCCGAUCCAUCAAAGCUUCGGGGAGGAGUUCCGUCAGCACGACGGCGUGGUGACGAUCUUGAUAUUCAACCGUUGCAGGGCUUCGCCUAAGCACCGCUACAAUAUGACCGAGGUGGAAUAUGGUGGAGGGGGGCACCGCACACGGCUAAGGAACGAUCACAAAGAUCAACUUGUGUGUUCUAGGGUGCCCCCCUGCCCCUGUAUAUAAAGGAGCCAAGGGAAGGGGGCAGCCGGCCAAGGAGGGCGCGUCAAGGGGGAGUCCUACUCCCACCGGGAGUAGGACUCCCUUCUUUCCUAGUUGGAGAAGGAGAAGUGGGAAAGAGGAGGAAGAGGGAAAGGAAAGGGGGGGGGGCGCCGCCCCCCUCUCCUUGUCCUAUUCGGACUAGGGAGGGGAGGGGCGCGCGGCCACCUCUUGUCUCCUUUCCUCUUCUCCCUUAGGGCCCAUGUAGGCCCAAUAACCCCCGGGGGGGUUCCAGUAACCCCCCGGUAGUCCGGUAAAAUCCCGAUUUCACCCGGAAUGAUUCCGAUAUCCAAAUAUAGGCUUCCAAUAUAUCGAUCUUUAUGUCUCGACCAUUUCGAGACUCCUCGUCAUGUCCAUGAUCACAUCCGGGACUCCGAACAACCUUCGGUACAUCAAAAUACAUAAACUCAUAAUGAAACUGUCAUCGUAACAUUAAGCGUGCGGACCCUACGGUUCGAGAACAAUGUAGACAUGACCGAGACACGUCUCCGGUCAAUAACCAAUAGCGGAACCUGGAUGCUCAUAUUGGUUCCUACAUAUUCUACGAAGAUCUUUAUCGGUCAGACCGCAUAACAACAUACGUUGUUCUCUUUGUCAUCGGUAUGUUACUUGCCCGAGAUUCGAUCGUCGGUAUCUUAAUACCUAGUUCAAUCUCGUUACCGGCAAGUCUCUUUACUCGUUUCGUAAUACAUCAUCUCGCAACUAACUCAUUAGUUGCAAUGCUUGCAAGGCUUAUGUGAUGUGCAUUACCGAGAGGGCCCAGAGAUACCUCUCCGACAAUCGGAGUGACAAAUCCUAAUCUCGAAAUACGCCAACCCAACAUGUACCUUUGGAGACACCUGUAGAGCUCCUUUAUAAUCACCCAGUUACGUUAUGACGUUUGGUAGCACACAAAGUGUUCCUCCGGCAAACGGGAGUUGCAUAAUCUCAUAGUCAUAGGAACAUGUAUAAGUCAUGAAGAAAGCAAUAGCAACAUACUAAACGAUCGGGUGCUAAGCUAAUGGAAUGGGUCAUGUCAAUCACAUCAUUCUCCUAAUGAUGUGAUCCCGUUAAUCAAAUGACAACAGAUGUCUAUGGUUAGGAAACAUAACCAUCUUCGAUUAACGAGCUAGUCAAGUAGAGGCAUACUAGUGACACUUUGUUUGUCUAUGUGUUCACACAUGUAUUAUGUUUCCGGUUAAUACAAUUCUAGCAUGAAUAAUAAACAUUUAUCAUGAAAUAAGGAAAUAAAUAAUAACUUUAUUAUUGCCUCUAGGGCAUAUUUCCUUCACUUACUAUGUACUUCGUUCCUGAAUCGCUUGCUACUCUCCCUAUCAGUCCUAAUCUGGAUCUAAGCUUUCAUAACCCACUGGUUCGUCAAAUGUUUUUGCUUCACAAUUCUCUUCGUGAAGCCUAUCCCCCUAACUGCACUGUAGGGUACGACACCAGCAUCUUCAGAAUGGAUUAUUGAUAGUGGGUGUACCAACCACAUGACUGGAAAAGAAGCCUUCUUAUGGACUCAACCUUACGUCCAUCCGACAAGAGUCACAUCACAUUUGCUGACACUGGUAAAAGUAAGGUAUUGGGUCUAGGUAGAGUUGCAAUCUCAAAGGAUCAACACAUGCAUAAAGUCAUGCUUGUUGAAUCCCUUGGCUUCAACUUAAUGUCUGUCUCAAUGCUUUGCAAUUUGAACAUGAUCGUAAUAUUUGGAAAAUAUCGCUGCCUUGUACUAAUGGAAUCUGACAAGUCUCUAGUGUUUGAAGGGUAUCGGAAAGAUGAUUUGUACGUGGUAGAUUUUUCGGCAGGACCACAGCUUGCCGUAUGUCUUCUAGCAAAGGCUUCAGAAUGCUGGCUCUGGCAUCGGAGGCUAGGGCAUGCUGGCAUGAGGAACCUCCACACCCUUGCAAAGAAGAAGCAUGUCAUAGGCAUCGAGGGCGUCAAGUUCAAGAAAGAUCACUUAUGCGGUGCCUGUGAAGCAGGAAAGAUGACGAGGGCCAAACAUCCCUCGAAGACAAUCAUGACAACCACUCGACCCUUCGAACUGCUCCACAUGGAUCUUUUCGGUCCCACUCAUUACUCAACUCUUACUACUACUGCUUGCCUCUAUGGCUUUGUUAUUGUUGAUGAUUAUUCUAGAUAUACUUGGGUGCACAUAAUCCUCUACAAGACUGAAGUGCAGGAUGUCUUCAGACGCUUCGCCAAUCGAGCAAUGAACAACUAUGGCGCCAAGAUAAAGCACAUCAGAAGUGACAAUGGCACUGAAUUCAAGAACACUGGCCUUGAUACAUAUCUUGAUACCUUGGGCAUCACACAUGAAUUCUCAGCCCCGUACACACCACAGCAGAAUGGCAUCGUCGAACGCAAGAACAGAACACUCAUUGAGAUGGCCCGAACGAUGCUUGAUGAAUACAAGACUCCAAGAAAAUUCUGGCCUGAAGCCAUUGAUACUGCAUGCCAUACAAUCAAUCAUGUUUAUCUUCACAAGCUUCUGAACAAGACAUCUUAUGAGCUCCUUACUGGCAAGAAGCCAAAUGUCAGUUACUUCAGAGUAUUUGGCGCCAGGUGCUGGAUCAAGGAUCCACAUCACAUUUCAAAAUUUGCACCAAAAGCACAUGAGGGUUUUAUGCUUGGAUAUGGAAAGGAUUCGCACUCCUACAGAGUCUUCAAUCUCUUUCAUUAUAAAGUGGUUGAAACAGUGGAUGUGCGGUUUGAUGAGACUAACGGUUCACAAAGAGAGCACCUCCCAAAUAUGCUAGAUGAAGUUCCAUCCAACGAAUCAAUCAAGCUUAUGGGAACCGGAGAAAUCAUACCCUCUGAAGCUCAACCUGAAGAGGAACUUAUCAUCUCCGCACAUGAUCAACCUGAAGACAAUGCUCAGCCUGAAGACAAUCCCACUAACAAUGACAAUGAUCAGCAAGAGCAAAACCUUCGCCCUGUACAUCCUCGUGUUGCCAAUGAAGUGCAGAUUGAGAGAAUAAUUGACAGCAUCAAUGCACCCGGUCCGCUCACUCGAUCAAGGGCAACUCAGCUGGCAAAUUUCUGUGGGCACUUCGCAUUCAUCUCAAUAACAGAACCCAAGAAAGUUGAAGAAGCCUUCAUGGAACCUGAAUGGAUUCAAGCUAUGCAAGAAGAGCUUCAACAGUUUGAGCUGAAUAAUGUAUGGGAACUGGUUAAGCGUCCUGAUCCUCGGAAGCACAACAUAAUAGGCACCAAAUGGAUAUACCGCAACAAGCAAGAUGAGCAUGGUCAAGUUGUCAGAAACAAAGCUCGUCUCGUUGCUCAAGGAUAUACUCAAUUGGAAGGCAUUAACUUCGAUGAAACAUUUGCUCCUGUGGCUCGACUUGAAGCCAUACGCAUACUGCUGGCCUAUGCAAAUCAUCAUAACAUACUUCUAUAUCAAAUGGAUGUGAAGAGUGCCUUUCUCAAUGGCAAGAUUGAAGAAGAAGUGUAUGUUGCACAACCGCCUGGCUUUGAAGAUCCGAAACAUCCUGACAUGGUAUACAAGCUCAACAAGGCACUGUAUGGCCUCAAACAAGCCCCUCGGGCCUGGUAUGACACACUCAAGUACUUCCUGAAGAGCAAAGGCUUCAUACCUGGUUCCCUAGACCCCACUCUCUUCACGAAGACAUAUGAUGGUGAACUGUUUGUGUGCCAAAUAUAUGUGGAUGAUAUUAUCUUCGGAUGCACCAAUAAGAAGUACAGUGAAGAGUUUGGAUAUAUGAUGCAAGAGCAAUAUCAGAUGUCUAUGAUGGGAGAGCUGAAGUUCUUCCUCGUUCUCCAAAUACGACAGCAACGCAACGGCAUCUUCAUAUCUCAAGAGAAGUAUCUCAAAGAUUGCCUGAAGAAGUUCGGUAUGCAAGACUGCAAAGGCUUCACGACGCCAAUGCCAGCCAAGCAUCAUCUGGGUCCUAACGACAAUGGUAAAGAGUUGGGUCAAAAGGUAUACCGCUCCAUGAUUGGUUCUUUGCUUUAUCUAUGUGCAUCUAGGCCAGAUAUUAUGCUUAGUGUUUGCAUGUGUGCUCGAUUUCAAGCGGCACCAAAGGAGCCGCAUCACUUAGCUGUGAAGCAAAUUCUUCGGUAUUUGGCUCACACCCCAACUCUAGGAUUAUGGUAUCCAAAGGGCUCAGAGUUUGAUCUGGUUGGAUUCUCGGAUGCUGAUUAUGCUGGUGACAAAGUGGAUCGCAAAUCUACAUCAGGCACAUGUCACUUUCUGGGACGAUCACUUGUAUGUUGGUCUUCAAAGAAGCAGAACUGUGUAUCUCUCUCCACUGCUGAAUCUGAAUACAUUGCUGUUGGAUCUUGCUGCGCUCAGCUUCUGUGGAUGAAGCAAACACUCAAGGACUAUGGCAUUCAUCUGAAGCAAGUGCCACUCUACUGCGACAACGAAAGCGCCAUCAAGAUUGCCAACAACCCAGUUCAGCACUCAAAGACAAAGCACAUCGAAAUUCGUCAUCACUUUCUCAGAGAUCAUGUUGUGAAGGAAGAUAUUGAUAUCAUACAUGUCAACACUGAAGAGCAAUUGGCAGAUAUCUUCACCAAGCCCUUGGAUGAGAAGAGAUUUUGCAAGUUACGGUGUGAGCUAAAUAUCCUGGAAUCCUCAAAUGUCCUGUGAUCAGGCACACAUCCUAACACUUAUGCAUAUUGAUGACUUAGAUGUGCAACACACGAAGUAAAGUAUAUCUUCAAUCAAUAAAGACAUACAUUCUAAGUGUGAAUACAUUAAUAUGGAAUUUGACUUCGAAGCGCCACGAUAAUUGUGCGUCGUGUCUGGGUCUAAUACUUCCUAUACGGUGGGUAACGCCACCACCAGAUGUUCUGUUUGAAGUGUUUCACUCAUGGCGUUACAUUUGCUAUGUCUUCACAUUUGGUUUGGCUUCAAUCUCAACAUAUCUUCAUGAUUAUCUUCACUAUGUUGAUUAUAUAGAUAUAUAUAUACUAGUGUUCUGUCCUCUACAGCAUUCACUUAUAGCUAUGUCUUCUUGUUGAAUCUUUUGAACUAAGUGAAUGUGAUCGGACCCUAACUUCUCUAUGCUUUCUAUCUCAAACUCUAUCUCUCCAAAUCAUAUGCAUUCUAUUGAAAUUGUCGAAUGUCUUCUUUGCGUCCUUGUCAGCAGAAGAUACAGAGACAACCAUUAAGUCCGUUUUCAAUGCUCAUUCCUCCACCUGAAACCCGGAGAAGUGGGAACGACCACCCGACAAUCCAGGCGUGCGUGGGACGUGGAACAAACCCCAAUAUGCUGUAUGAUGGCCACGUGUUCCUCAGAUGCGAAUCGCCAGGGGCACUUGUGUAAUAAUGCAGUGCCACUCCUGUACCUAUAAAUACACACCUCACAACAGUCAUUAUCUCUUCUUCCACUCUCGCACGAACCCUAGCGCCACCGCUAGCCCUCAACGACGCCGGCGAUGAAGUGCUUCGCUGCCGCAACCUCUCCGACACCGUCUUCACGUCGACCGCGGACAUCGUCUUCUCUGUCGUCGCCAUAGGUGUCCUCCGUCGCCAAGUUAGGGCACGGACGAUCGAACUGCUCGGCCUCCUCUUCCACUCCGUCUAGCAGUUCUUCGUGUGGUAAAUAAAACCUCCUUUUUACGGCCCCUUUGAUCCUAUAGCUUUAUCACUUCCUAUCACAAGCAGUUUCUAUUCACACAAGUUGGAUCUCUUUCAUACUGCAUCUCAUAACAUGCCUAGUAUAUUCACUUAUGCUUCACAAAGUAGUUAGAUUCCUCACUUGUACUGAUCCGUGGAUUCGUACAAAUCUGGAACCAACUCCUUAUCUAUGAGUGAAUGUCUUCGCACGAUGAGGUCAAUGUCUUCUAAACUAAUUUAUCUUCAAAAUCUUCUGAGAAUGCAUAUGACCUCUUCCCCUUCCCUUGCACCUUAAUGCUGUCACAGGUACAUGUCCGUGGGAGAAUCCCUUGGUUCUCAUAGUCUGCAUUCAUUUGCAGAAUUCUUACAGCAUCACAUAAAUUCUCCCGAAGCCAGUUCCUGUUUGUCUAGCAAGCGAAAACCUUUGAAGCCUCUGAAUGUAUUGAAACCUUUCAGAUUAAAGUUCAUGGCUUCAGAAAAAUCAGCAAGGAAGGGUGGCAGAAAGCAUCGACGAGAAACAUCAAGAGAUCUAUCCGAUGACCUCUCAGAGCUGUACAAGACAGAUCCCGAAGAAGAUUACAAUCAGCGCAAGACGCGGAUCCAAUGGAUUCGACGCUAUUGGGCAGAACAGUGGUUCAAGUACAGAUUUGUGACCAAGGAAUAUGCUGAAAAGAAUGCCAUCAAGCGACCAUGGGGAGACAUCCUCUACAAAAAUCUUCAACCCAGGACCAGAAAUGAAGCCAUUGAACAAGGCUUCUAUCCCUGCAUGGUCCGUGGACCACAGCCUGCGGAUGCUGACCCAUCAUCCCUGCUAUGGUGUCAUGACGACAAUCUGUUUAAGCGCAACUUCCAGUUUGCCCAGAACUCAGCGAAGCAGAACAAGAAGACUUUGGGUUUAGAUUUCAACCCUGGUCCCUCUGCUCCCCGUGCCGAUGGAACUCGCGAAGCUGAACCCAAUCUUCUUGGGCCCUUCUACAACCUUGAAGGUCUCAUCACUCACAUCGUGGUUCAAGGGACAGCCGUGAAUGAGCCUGCAGAUGACGCUGAAUCAGAUGAAGCGCCUGCAGCGCCGAAGCCAAAGAAGCUGAAGCAGCCAAAAGCUUCAAAGCCGGCCUCUGCACCAAAAAUCUCACGGGCGAAGCCACUGGCAACUGCACCUCCUGAAGACAGUGUGCAGUCUGAAGAUUUGUCACGCAUCUCCAAGCCCCAGAAGGUCAAGAUGCCUCUGCCACACACCGGCCAAGAGCUAACAGCUGCUGCCAUUCUGCGCAAUGAUGCCAUUGAUCUAUCAAGUGAUGAAGAUCUUGCAGAUGACGCUCUUGAGCAACUCAUCAAGAGCAAAGAAGAAGCAGAAAUCUUCAAUGAUCUGCCUCUCUUUGAUGUAACAAUCAUCCACAACUUCAUUGAUGAGUGGUUUGACAUGCCAAACAUCAGCUUCGAAGAUCUGCAACUACCCAUUGGCCUCAGUGUCGCCUUCCAUGGCACCAUUGCUUCAGAGCUAGCCCUCGCUCAGCGCAUCGUCGAACUGAAGCAAAAGAUCGACUAUGAAAAGGCUCAGUUCAAGAAGCAUAUGGCCAAGCUCAGCGUGCAAGAGGUGAAAAACUUCAAGAUUAUGCUGCACGAGCUCAAAGAAGCCUUUCUCAAAAACGCGCAGAAGCUCAGGGUUCUCGGGAGCGUAUGAAGAGCCUGGCUGACAAGUGUGUGCAAGGCUACAACGAAGCUGAGAAGCGCAAGGCCCUUGGGCGUCCGGGCAUUGAUCCCAGGAUGGCUGCUAAGCAGAAGAAGAAGCCCAUUGUGGCCGAACCUCUCGCACUAAGGCAGGAAGCAGAUCCCAUUGUCUUCCCAACUAGAAUCACUAGCUCGAAGCCAAAAGCCCGGUCAACCGCUUCAGAGCUGAAGAAGAUAAGGACUGCUGAGGCUGAAGCCAGGAAGAGGAAACAUCCUGAAGCCUCUCCUACUGCCCCCUCCAAGAAGAAGAGGAAGACCAAGAAAGAACGGGCUGCUCCCACAGAGCCUUUGAUUGUUGAACCCAUUUCCAUGGUUCGUCCUGACGCUGAACGCCAACUGACAAUUCAUGAGUCUGCUUUCACAGAGGCUCAUGAAGCUGAAGACUUUCCAACAGCUGAUCCCAUCGCUGCUGACGACAUUGGUCACCAUGACCAUGUAGAAGAUGGUGCAGUCCUUCCUCAGCUCGAGCACAGCGAACUCAUCAGCAUUGGUCGUCCUCUGACGCCAAUUGCUCAGGAUGCUUCAUGGGCUGAUCGCCCACAAGAGGAAGAAGACUUUGCGGCCCAGCCAACUCCAACUACACAGGCGUCGCCUGUGUUGCGCAGGCUUCGCAAAGGACCCAAGCCUCCAGUCUCUGUGUCUGAAGCUGAAGCCGCUGAAGACAUUCCGGCUGCAUCAGCCGAUGAAGAAGAAGUCCCACAAGCUGCUACUCCCCUGUCCCACCAAGAAGCGGUUCUCGAGGAGAACGUGACUGUGACCGACCCUCCAGCUCGUCAAGUGGAGGUUGAAAAUCUUGAGGCUGCCACCACCAACACCACUGAAGCCACUGACGCUGUCAUGGCUGAAGCUAAUGUGGAGCCCUCACCAACAAAAGCACCAGAAGUCAGCGAAGCCACUGAUCCCACUACUUCUGUUCCCACGCCUGCUGCCGGUCCUCAGUUCGACUAUCAUGUUGAGCACAUGCCUCAGGUACAGAAGCCAAUCCCAAGAUUGCCCAGGUUCCCAGGUCCUGCAUCAGCACCUGGAUCCUUCAAUAUCAAUGGCUUCAGAGCAGACAACACAUUCUUCAAUAGCUCCAGGAACCCCUACUCAAGGGAAAGAAUAUCAUCUGAUCGGUUCUGGAGCUAUCCGCAGCGAAGCUAUUACUCCUACAUUCUAUACAAUCAAGGUCGCAUCUUCCCACACAAGCGUCUUGACAUUGAAGCAACAGCUGGUCUGCCCUAUCUGGAAGAAGCUCUGGAUUGCUUCAAGGAGGUUGGAUUGCUGCCGUUCGUCACUGACCAAGAGCAUUGGAAUGAAGAGUUGCUGCUUCAAUUCUAUGCCACACUUCACAUCCGCGGGUAUAACAGAGAUCCGAAGACUUGGGUCCUGGAGUGGAUGACAGGAAACGUUCAUCACGAAGCCAAAGCCUUUGACAUCAUUGAGCUCACUGGUCUACCCACACCCGGUGAUCUCUACGAAUCUGGCUGUCAACUUCACAGUGAAGCUGUGGAGAGCAUCUUUCAGAAGCCUGAACCUAACAUGAGUCAGAUGCUCAGUAUGAUGAAACCAUUACCCCAAGAUGCUGCAUAUCCCAAAGAGUUAUUUGUUGAAGACCCAGAGUAUCUGCCAAGGACUAUUUAUCACAUCAUAAGGCGAACUCUCUGGCCCAUCAAAGGGCAAUUUCCACAUGCCAAGCUGGAAGGUGCAAUGAAGACUUUGAUCUUUUAUAUUCUUCAUGGAAAAUGCUUCAAUGCACAGGAUUUCUUCAUUCGCCAACUUGCUGCAUCAGGCUCUGAUCUGUUUGGCUUGAAGUUCUACGCCCCAUGGGUAAUGCGGUUGAUCAAACUUCACUCCGCUAUCUCAUAUCAGCCAUCUGCUCGCAAUCAUCGGAUUUUUCUGCCUGAUGUGGAUAUGUCUAUUGAAGCCAUCUAUCCCGAGCCUGCCAAGGAACCUCUAAGUCUUCAGAAUGCAGAGCAUCAAAGUUUUUCUCAGAACAUUGAAGGAGUUAAAGCAGUCACUCGUGUGUAUCCUUUGGCUGGCACUACACGUGCACCGCAUCCUGCUCUCACUGAAGCCACUGACAGUACAACUGCCCCACGACCCAAGAAGCGCACUCGUGUUCUCAAUGACCGAGAGCUUCUUGUGGCUCUUCAUCAGAAACAGGAUAGGCAUCAUGACUGGCUGAAGCAUCAAAUGCAAAGCCUCUUGGUGGAUGUUAAUCGCAUUCGCAAUCUUGCCACCAAGAAUGCCUUUGUUGCCCAUGAAACCUCUCGACGCACAUGGAAAGGGCUGACGCUGAUGUGUUCUGAAGAUGAUCUUCAAGAGGAUGGCUUCUCUGAGCGCUUCAAGUUUGACUCCACACCCCCUCGAAGGGCAGUGCUGCGACGAACUCCAUCUCUUGAAGACUCUGAGUUCUCUUCCUCUGCUGCAACUGUAAAUGCCAGAGUGAUCGAGGAUGAAGACGAUGCUACUUCACCGCCGCCCCCUUCAGCACACUUCGACACUGCUCCAAGUUCUUCUGCACCGCCGAACACCACCAACGAACCUGCUGCUUCACCUACUCUUCAUGGGAACGAGUAGAUGCUCUAUGUCUUCAAACCUUUUUGGUCCUUACUGAAAAAAGGGGGAGAAGCAUAUGAGUUUGAUAGUCUUCAAGCGGGUCCAUAUGGGCGGGUGCUUCAUAUUUUGCUUCGUGUUUACAACUGUUGUUUUGAUACAUUUGGUUCUUUGAGUUGUAACACUUAAACUCGAUGGUCGUCUGCUACUUAUUUGCCAUUUUGUGAUGCGAUGAUAAAUUCCGCAUGUGCGACGAUAAAUUCCGCACUUAGAUCAUUUUGCAGACGUCCAUUUUCCAUUAUGCAUGUCAUUAUCUUCACAUACCUUCACAUGUAUAGUGGAUUGUCAUCAUAAAUUGAAGAGGAUCUCCACAAGCACAACUUGCCAUGUGCAUUUGCAUUCCAAAAGUAAACUACUUAUAUGCACAUCUUCAGGGGGAGCCCUUGCAACUUAUGAAGACAAUUCCUUAUCCUUUACAAUUUCACAUAUUAUAUUCCCCGUUGAAAACUUCAACUAGUUUGUCAUCAAUCACCAAAAAGGGGGAGAUUGUAAGUGCAUCUAGUGCCACCCCUAGUUGGUUUUGGAGUAUUGACGACAAACCUAGUUAAGGGACUAAUGUGUUUGUGAGAAUUGCAGGAUAACACAGGUAGAAGUCCCUCAUUGAUUCGGUUUUCCUACCAGAGAUGACCCCUAAAAAUGUAUGAAGACAUUGAUGUCAAAGGUGGUAUAUGAAGAUAUUCACAUUGAAGACUAUGACAAGAGAAGACAUCGCGUGAAGCCUAUGGAGCUCGAAGACUUAGAUCUUUCGGAGUUCUUUUUCUUCUUCUUUGUUGAGUCAUAGGAACCACCGUACUGUUAAGUGGGGUCCAAGAGAACCAGUCAGAAUGACUGAAGUGAUGCUUAACCAAAACCUAUGUCUUCGAGUGAAGACUAUGAGAGCGAAUCUUGUCCAGAGUCGGACAAGUCAGCUUUGCUUGUAGCCCAAGUAAAGUUGCCGUGUGAGUUUGAAAUCUGACCAUUGGAACACGUGUCAGUUCCUUAGUGACCCAGGGUCAUUUCGGACAAAUCAGGUCUGGUUGCCUAGUGGCUAUAAAUAGCCCACCCCCUACAACCAUAAAUGGUUGGCUGCUCAGAGUUAGUAUACAGCUUUUGUCCUUUGAGAGCAACCCACCUCGAAGCCUUUGAGAGAGAAUUCCUUGCGAGGAUAAAGCCCUAACCACCCAGAGCCAAAGAGAAUUAGGCAUCACUUAAGUCUUCUUGUCUGUGUGAUCUGAAGACUUAUUACACUUGAGGACUGUGAGUCCUCCAGCCGGUUAGGCGUCGCGUUCUGAGCAUCCAAGAGACAUUGUGGAUCGCCGGUGAACGAAGUCUGUGAAGGUUUGGGAGUCUACCUUGAAGACUUACCAGAGUGAUUGGGCGAGGUCUGUGUGACAUUAGCUCAAGGGGAAUACGGUGAGGACUGGGUGUCCUGAGCUGCGUGUUCAGGACUGGGUGUCCGGAACUGUGUGUCCUCAGGUUUAAAUACCUAGCCGCCCUAACCAGACGUACAGUUGUCACAGCAACUGGAACUGGUCCAACAAAUCAUUGUCUUCAACGUGUCACUAGUUUCAUCCUUUCCUUCCCUUUACUUACUGUUGGUCUUUGUGAAGUCAUUGUAUGAUUACACUAUCUUUUAUCUUCACUGAGUGACUGCGUGUUUUGUUUGGCUUCAUAAUAUCUUCCUACCUGAUCCUUACUAGAUUGCUGCUAUUAGUCAUUGUGCUUUCACUCCAUUGAAUACUUGACUAUGGUUUGCCUAAUGUAGUCUACCUUCCGCUGCAUGGUAAUAGGUUUAUUUUUAUCGUUUGUCUUCAUAACUUCCACGUUUUGAAGACUUUCAUAAAAAUUGCCUAUUCACCCCCCCCUCUAGUCGAUAUAACGCACUUUCAGUCUUACAACGCAACAGAAACCCUCAAAAAAUCAAGCGAGGCGAGGGGAGCAAGUUUUGGAUUACAAGCCGAAGACGGCUAGCAUAGAGCACGCAGGCUCACAACAAAGGUGCCAAAAGGUGCCUGCCUCACAUCCCUACGGGGGCGGCGCAGGAGCUCUCGCCAGAGCGUAGACCUGACGAAGACGGGCAAGAGUGAGCUGCAGGAGAUCAACGUCUCGGUGUCUUCCCAACGGCGCCCAGUCCUCAUCCUCACUCACCUUCAUCUUCUUAAAAAUUAUCAGAAUCUAGAUCAUCCGCCAAUCCAUUCUCAUCCUUCUCUUCCAUCAUCCUUUGCAUUUUCUCCCCUUCCCCGUCCCCAUUAGCCAAACCACUACCAGCAAUAUUAGCCAAACCACUACCAACAAUUACUGCUGACUGACUGCUCAACCCUGUUUCACGACAAACGGCGAUGCGUGACAUAUAAUUCUACUAUUCAUCGGUUGUGACCCAGGUGGAUGAAUCUCAUUAGUCGACUGACCACCCUGGUCGGGUUCAUACACCCGGCCGCCUUCCAAUAAAUUCUCCUCCUUCGGCACAGGGAUCACUUAGGCAUAUGAGUGAAUCAUCCGUUUUCUGCAACGCCUUAACCAGGCCAACCACUUAUGUCUCCUAUCUAUCAUGUUCAACUCCCACAAAACACUUUUACCAGAUUUGGUCCAUACUGCAUAAAUACUAAUGGAGCACUCGUUGGGAUCAAACCCAAAACUUGUUGUCAACCAGUAUUUCAACUUGUUGCCAUAGUAAACAGUGCAAUUCACAGACUCAUACAACUCCAUAUUUACCAUUAAACACAUUGAACAAAUAGUCACUCCUAACAAUGGUAACCAACAGGGGUGCUCCCCUCUGGACACAGGCGAGGAAAGAAGACCUCACAGCACGUAUUCUGCCAAUGCCUCCCAGCCUCCACGACACCCGGUUUGACCAGCAAAGGCCUCCCUCCACGCACUUGAACCAAUCUAAAUCGGUAACAGCCGGCCAAAUCGAUACCCUGGGAGCUUAGUGAAUUUAGAGAUUCAUCUGCUGUUGAGUAUACAACAAACAAUUACCUCGUGAUAUGGAUGAACAAGACAAUCACAUCCCUGGAUCUGUAGAAAGGGCUUCAUCUAGGCAGCAAAUGAGGUUUCGACAAGCAAUGAUCAAGUUCAGACUCCAUUUGUUUGCAAGAGCAGCGCAGGAUUUAAAAAUGCCAAAAUUGUACCAAAAUACUUUUCCAGCCGUCCAUCUCACACGCUCAGACACAUUGUUCACAUCGAUAAUAACAAGACUGACAACGGAAUUCUGUGUAAACUCGCCAAUCAACAAGGAAAAUGACAAGUAGCCAAGAGCUAUAGGAAACUGAUGGUGACCGCAACAUAGUAGUACAAGUUCCCACAUAAGAGGUUCCGAGCAACUAUCAAAGAAAUACUUUAUUAUUAUUCCAAGGUUUGUCAACUUCGGAAGCUACAAGACCAGCAGAUGUAAUGUGUCAAACAAAACAAGGCCCCGGAGCAGGGAGCGAGUUCUGGGCUUCACGCCCUCAUGCAAUCUAGAAUCAUAGGAACCGACCGACGACCGACAAAUAUAGCUGCUCCAGGGCAUACCCCUUCCUACAUGAUGUCAACACUCUAGGCUGCAAAACUUAAGACAGGGACAAUCAUUUUGCCUCUUAUUCUCUUCGUACGGAGUUAUCGUUAUCCUUCACCUCAAACGGACGCGGCGGCUCCCUGCUUCUUGUGCGCAAACUCGAUGCCCUUCUCAAUGCUGGCCUUCAGCUCAGGCUUCAACGCUUCGAGUGCCUUGGCCUCAUAAUCGGUCACUCCCUCCAGGUCGGAAGAGAUGAUGGACUCGACACCAUUCUUCCCAAUCUUAACUCUGGACGCAAAGAAUGGUAGCUCAGUUAGCUCGGACUGGACAUACGUGCACUCGUAAACAUCUGGAUCACCAGCCAGUGCACGGAGUGAUGACUCGACAAAUCUGGCAGCGGCAUAUGCCAUGGACAGGGUAGCGGAUCCAGCACCGGCUUUCGCCUCCACCACCUCUGUCCCUGCAUUCUGUAUCCUCUUUGUCAGCUCUUCAGUUUCCUCAUCCGUGAAAGUGACAGAUGGCCUAGUUUUGGACAACAGAGGUAGGAUUGUAAUUCCAGCAUGACCACCAACAACUGGGACAUCAACGUCAAUGAGCUUGAGGUCCUUCUUCUGAGCUACAAACGUGUUCGCUCUGACAACAUCCAGGGUGGAAACUCCGAAAAGCUUCUUGGGGUUGUAGACACCCUUCUGUUUCAGAAUCUCAGCAGCAAUCGGCACUGUGGAGUUGACUGGGUUGCUGAUAAUAUGGAUAAAGGCAUCAGGGCAAUUGUCUGCGACAGCCUCAAUAAGCGACUUGACGAUGCCCGCAUUGAUGUUGAACAGGUCAUCACGAGUCAUGCCUGGCUUUCUUGGGACCCCAGCAGGGAUGACAACAACAUCCACACCUUUCAAGCAGUUGGCUAACUCAGCAGGGCCAGUAAAGUCCAUGACCUGAGAAGGUGUGUUGCAGUGGCUGAGAUCAGCAGCGACUCCCUUGACAUUCGCAAUAUCAUACAGGCGCAGUUCUGAGACCAGAGGAGACAUCUUGAUUAACAGGCCCAAUGGCUGCCCGAUGCCCCCAGCAGCACCAAGCACUGCCACUUUGUAAGAUGCCUCAGGUAGUAUCUGAGCCACAGACUUUGCCUUUGGCACAACCCUUGUGGUGACAGAUGCCCGAAGAGGUGCGGUCUUGCCGAGGAAUGAGGAUCCCAAUUCAAAGUUAACUGAUGACGACGAUGCCUUUAAGCCACCAUAGCUUGUGAUGCCAUGGCUCCUUGGCCUUGAAACCAAAGCGGCCUGAGCACUAACUGAAGUCAUGGUAACAGCUGAUGCCAUGUCCAACUGCAGGAACAGAACUAUAUGAGAUUAAUAUACAGUGGUAACAUGCAGAGUCUAAUUACAAAUUCCAGCUAAAAAAAUUUGAACUGGACUAAUAGCCCAAUACAGUGGUAAAUGCAGAUUCCAAUUACACCAUCCAUGGAGUAGAUGUAGGAACACUCGAAAUAAAUUGUAACGAGAAUAAAACAAGGGCACUUGAUUGUAAGUUAUACUAUGUAUUUGCUUGCAAGCAUCAAUGGAACAAGGGAUGGCAAACUAUCUCCUCCCUUCAUUUUGAACACGAAAGGAACUGUACUAAUUAUGAAUUACUGUAAGUGAAAUAGGAGUUGAAAUUACACGUAAACACUUGCGACAUUUCUUCCCCGACCGCGGAAUGUAAACAAGUACGUACUAGGUAGAAUCAGAGAUAAAUUUCCCUAGGUAGAAUAAUGAGAGGAAGCUAUUUCUAUUCAGAAUGCAGCAAUUUACGGCUUUGCUAAACAUGAUGCAGGGCUGUACGACACGCAGACAAUCAGAUCCCUGGAUCUGUGCAAGGGGAGGUCGUCUGUAUGAUAUGGCGCUGCAGGAAAAUCUUGCACAAUGGCUCAUCUUACAGCAGCAAUCAGUAACCUAUGACGCCAUACGAUACGUUGCCGCGACUCGCAGGGGCGGAUCUAAAACUAAAUAGUGUGCCGACACGCUCUGAAAUUGUGAAGGCCCCUCCCUACCCUGGCGGGAUCGAUUGAUUUUAACAACAGAGAGAAACUGACGAACCAACCUAUCUGCUCAUACCUGGAAGGAAGGAGACCCAAUCAGUCCGCAGGGAGUGAGACGGGGUGGAGAGAGCGGCAGGAUGCUCCGGAGGCCGAUGAAGUAGGGGAGCUGCGGCGGCGAAGCGCGGCCCGAGGGGGCGUCGGCGGUUGGUGGGCGGAGGCAGCGGCCCUUGGCUCACCCUUUGCUCUUUUUUCUUGGUUGGGGGCAGGUGGCUCUGGACUCCUGGUGAUAAAUAAAUAGCUGGGCUGGGCAGCGGCGGUGGCGGCGCAAGAGAAACAGAGAGAGAUCGGCUUUGAUUUUUCUUGCGCUGGUUCGCUCGCUUUUUUUUUUUUUGAGGGAACGCUGGUUCGCUCGCUGGACGGUAGCCUCGGAGACAACGGGCUGGCUCUGCCGUUGGCCGACACUCCUUUCUCCGUCCGCCGUUAGGUGCAGCUGGGGUAGGGCCGUAGGGGCAGGGGGAUCUUGCCUACGCGCAGUGUUAAUUUUGAAAUAUAUUAAGUACAUGUGAAUAUUAUUUAUGUAUUAUUAUAUUAUAUUUGGCAUAAAAUUAACUGCAUGCUAAACGUGUUGAGCGUUUGAUAUUGAAGCAGUCUAGGUUGUUGGAUUGACAUGAUUUGAUGAUCGAGAUUAAGUUUAAGUGGAUCUACUCCUUUGGGUCUUUUUAUACUGAUAUAGAUGCUGUUGUGCUUUCCUUCAAAAAAUUUAAGGCCUCAUUUUGAGUUAAGGAUGCUUUGAAUCCCAUGCCACAUUCAAUCCAUGCAUGAAGAUGCGAGAGAGAAAAUCAGAGGCCAUGCACGCACUCUUGUUAUAUAAUUCCCCCGUUUCUAAAUAUAAGUCUUUUUAAAGACUUUUAUAUGAAUCACACAUACGGAGCAAAAUGAGUGAAUCUACACUUUAAACUAUGUCUACAUACGUUUGUAUGUAGGGUUUUUUUUGCGCUGGAACAUCCGUAUGUAGUUCACAUUAAAAUCUCUAAAAAGACUUAUAUUUAGAAAUGGAGGGAGUAUUACAUGUACCAUACCAUGCAAACAUGUGGAGCAUAUUUUACCGGGCGGGUUUAAACCCACAAAACUCUUAGCCCUUAACUCAACAUCUAUCUCGAUUGUUGAGAAUUUCGAGAUGAGCCCUUAAACCGGAAGAGAGGGAGUAGUUGGUAUGACAAUACCUUACCAAGGCAAUCAUCACUAGGUGAAACUAUACCUGGCCAUGGGAAGCCCGGCCCGAAAAAGCCCGACCCGGCCCCGCCCGACGCUGCUCCCGGGCCGGGCUUGGGCCUAGAUUUUAAGCCUGAUGGCCGGGCCGGGCCGGGCCCGGGCCCGUCGUUUUUGUGUUUUUCUGAAGGUUGGGCCGGCCCGGCCCGGAGCCCGAUGGGCUUUUAUAUGUACGGGCCGGGCUCGGGCCCAAAAAACAGGCCCGAUGGCCGGGCCAGGCCGGGCCCGGGCUUGGGUUUUUUGCGUCGGGCUUGGCUAGGCCCGGCCCGAAGCCCGGCCCGGCCCGAGGUAUGGCCAGGUAUAGGUGAAACCAAAGAUAUGCUCUUACAAGUUGUUUUAAAGUCUGAAAACAAUUUAGCAUGUAAAACAUAAAAAAAUGUACUAUUUCAUACAAAUUCAAACAUAAAACUAAAUCACAGCUUGAGAAAAAAAAACUAAUCGUGUUAAUGGUCCAAAUCAAUGGGCAGUUGGAAAUAACUAUCAUACCCUCUCCUUUUGUACUAUGUGCAUUAGAUCUCCUUAUGACAAGCCUUUCGCCGACAAUUACACUAAUAAGUAGCUAAUUGUUCAUGUGUUGCAACGGAGGCAUACAUAUUCUACUGGUUCAACAUUAAUCAUGUCCAACAUAAAUCUUACACACAUCAUAUUCUAGAUUUUAGAUUUGAUGAUUUGUAUGGGUAGGGGGAGGCAAUGAAAGUUUUGAUUUACUUGAAUUUUUGGUAAGAUUUGAUUUGAUUCAGUUAAUGCAUGAAUGAUGUAGGAGAAGGGGCGUGUGGAGGGGGUGGGUGUGAGGGCGAGCGUACAAUGACCAACUCCUCUUUAAUAGUAGAGACAUGUAACUUUCGUGACACAAUAUUAGAGUAUGAAUAUACUGACAACAAUUUUAUGUCACAUAAAGUACACGGUAACACAUUAAUCCUAGAAACACUAAAAAAAGCAGAGUAAUCCUAGGUGUAGUGAGUUUUAGAGUUCCUCUUCAACCAAACUUCGAUCUGCAUAACGAGUUUGAAGUUGUAUUUUACUUUCUUGUCUCUUGUCUUCAUGUCUUUGAGUGACAAAGAAAUAUGAAAAUGGAAGAAUGCCUUCAGGGUGAGCGGAAUCGGGAAAACAAUUCAAUCUAGUGUGUUCCACAAAACUGCAAACGUAGCAUGCACUCUUUAGUUUAGAUUUCAUCUAUCUUCCUCCUCCAAAACGCUUUUCCCUAAGUACAUAGCAGCCCUUUCAGGGAAUCGGGCGAGGGUUCUGAUGCAUUACUUCAAAAGUGAAGUCAUUUGACUUUACCACCAUUGUACUUAUUUAGAGGAAUCCACGUGCUUAUUCACCUAGCGUGAGAUUGUAACAUUUCAAUUUUGAUGACACCCUCAUUUUCUUUUGCAAUGACACUUGACUAAACAUAUAUUUGAAUCCACAUCCUCCUAUACAAACAUGCACUUAUGGUUCCAAUAGAUAAUAUCGAGAUCGGUCAGUUUUUGUAAAUGCGAACCUCGUUGCAGCAACAGUAAUAGAUUUUAUCCAUUAGAUAAUAUUGAGAUUGCAAGGAUUAUUUCCUUGGCAUCUUGCAUCUAGUCAAGUCAUUUGAGAUUUUAUUAAUUUGAUUCAGGUGUAAUUGAUUUUAUCUAAAUAUAACCAACCAUAUGUGGUUGGUCAUUGAGAUGUGGUGUUAGUGUUAUGCGACAAUUUGAGGGUGUUAUCUCUAGUCAACAUGUGAGUUUCAGACAUGUCUUCCUUUUAACAAUGAUAUGUCUGUGUAGUGGAGCAAAUUUCAUUCUUGAGUUGACUUGUGUUUAGAUAAAUGGAGUUGUUGCUUAAGGAGCAACUAUCUCAUUCGUUGUUAUCAUCAUUCUAUAGUGCAUUUUGCAAAUAUAAAGUUACCAUGGUACAUAUUAACUUGACAUGAGACUGUAACCUAUAAAUCCAUCUAUGCACUAAUGCUACUUCUCUUCACCACCAUUAUACCAAGACAUUUAAUAAUACUAAAUAUCUACUACAUCUAAUUAAUUGUCAUGCAAUGAGUAAAAUCACACCUACUUGAGUGGGGUAUCAUGCAUAUUUUCUCUCUACAUAUGCCAAAAAUUUGAAGAUGCCAUGCAAGGGGUGACCCAUGUAGUGAAGCUAGCAAACGGAGGGCAUAUUAUUUUCUUGUCUUCUCUCGAAAAAACAACUUGGGAAUAUGGUGGUACAUUCAGGAUGAGCGGCAUUGGGGAAAGGGUUCAAUCGAGCUCCCUUGUUGAUAUUGCAAUACUGAAGAUAUCUCCUCUUUAGGCAAACAUAUUGUUAAAUCCGAUGAGUUUGAACCAUUCCCUCAUUCUUCUUUGUUGUGUUUAUCUUCCUUUUCCCGAUUUGGCAUUGACAAAGGCCACAUGUGCAAGCCACUCCUCCAGUUGGUUGAUUUAGUGGCCGAUAGCGAAUUGGCCUCCACGGUUAGCUAAAUUUGCUUCGACUUAACGUAAAUUGGUGUACUAAUUUUGGAAUUUAAUUGAAUUAAUUAUCCCAUCAAAAUAAGUUUCCUGGCCAUGCAUCUUUCUUUUCCUCUUGUAUGAGUAUAAAUUUUUUUCAGGUGUGACAUUAAUUCACUUCUAGCGCAGCUAAAAUUUGCUUCAAUCUGUACAUAGUUUUUCUAAUGUAAUCGUUUGUAGCAAAGUCACUUCCAUCGAGUAACGAAUUUUGUCUCCAUGGUAACAAAAAAAUGCUUCGAUUUAGCAAAAAAAAAAGGGUACUACGUAGGCAAAAUUUGCUUCCAAAUACAAUACUAUUUUAAUUUCAUCAACCAAAGAAUUCUUUCCAUAGAAAUAUGAAUUUGUUUCCAUCAUACAAUAUUUUUUAUUUCAAAUGACAUGAGGAUAUGUUGCCGUGAUGAUGAACAUUUGCUUCCGUUACACGAAGAAUGUGCAUCCGGCGGGGUUGGUUGAACCUGGUGAAGAUAGCAAACAUGCCCUUAAUGUAUAAGUUGAGAAGUUAAUUCUUCAUCUGUUGACUUGUCAAUAUGAGGAUGUUUCUCGUAGAAGAAAAACGAGGUAAAUACACCGCAAGUUGUAGAACUUGCACACGAUGGUCAGUUUGGUGCAUAAACUUGUAAAAUACGUGUUUUUGGUCAUCUAACUUGUCCCUCCGUUCAUAUACGGUGCUUUCUACUGUACUCAACCGUAUCAUGUGCACACAUGGCAUGCCAACGUGGCAAGGGCCCACUGUCAGCAGCGGUAACCUGCGUGCACUGUUUUUUUUUUCUUCAGGAAGCACCCUUGCAUUUUAUUUAUGUACGCAAAAAAAUCCUCAAAUGAAAUAAAAAAUGUUCAACCAACGGUGGGAUUCGAACAGAACACUUGCUACAAUCUGCCACGCUUUGAUAACCACUUGACCUACAUAUUGUUCAUGCUUUUGGAGCACAAUUAGCUUUAUAUUAGAAAGACUGUACGGCCUUAAAAAAAGACUGCACAAGUUAAAAUAGAAACCAAAACGAGAAAAAGGAAAGGCACCGGUUCGAACCUAUGACCACAUUUUUUUAGAAGAACCAGUGAACACAUAAGCUCGCCUUGUGUGGGAGCACCAACCAUCCGGCCACAGUGAGUUAAAAAAACAUCAGCUACAAUGACAUUUAAAUAGAUAAACACAAUUUAUCUUAUGUAUUCUUCUUUCUUUUUUCUAUUUAAAAGAAAAUAUAGUUCAUAAUGAGUAGACGUCAAUUUCUUUCGGACAAAUCGACAGAAUUCAUUAGAAAUUCGAAAAUCUAGAUAAAAUUUUAUAUGUAAAAAAAUAAUGUACAUAAUUUUUCAGAGAAAUCAACUAUUUUUUGUUUGAAUUCAAAUAAUUUAAAAAUUAAAAAUAUGGAUAAAAGUUAAUAUAGUGCACAAUGAAUAUACACAUUUUCUGGGGACAAAUCAAUUUUGUUUGUUUGAAUUCGAAUAAUUUGAAAUUUGAAAAUCUAGAGAAAAGGAAAUGUGGGUCAGAAUGAAUGUAAUUGUUUUUCUGGACAAAUCAUCUAAUUUUUGUUUGAAUUAGAAUACGCUAUAUAAAAGAAAUAUAGUUCAUAAUGAAUGUAUGUAAAUUUCCUUCGAACAAAUCAGUGGAAAUUUUGUUUGAAUUCGAAUAAUUUUAAAUCGGAAAAUCUUGAUAAAAGAAAAUAUAGGUCCGAAUGAAUUUAUGUAAGUUUUCCCCAGGAAAAUUAAAUAUUUUUUUGUUUGAAUUCGAAUAUUUUAAAUUAAAAAAUCUAGAUAAAAGAAAAUUUAGUGCAGAAGGAAUGUACGUAAUUUUCUUUCGAACAAAUUAGCGGAAAUAUUGUUUGAAUCUGAAUAAUUUUAAAUUUGAAAAUCUAAAGAAAAGAAAAUAUAUUCAGAAUGUGUACUUUUAUCCAAGACGUGAUAUACCUUAUUAGUCCAAAUGAAAUAGCAAGCACGAUCAGUUGUGGUGGUUAGGUCGUUAGUGCCAUUACAAGAGUUCGCCUUUUCGAACUUGCUCCGUCCCAUUUUUCCAGCCAAAUAUAUUUACAGCGAAUACUGAUGGGUGGGACCCAGCGGGCAACUAUUGUUGGAGUGGUUUUGUACAGAGUAAAAAAAAUGAGGGUGUUUCUACAAAAAAAAACAUCACGUGCACUAGCCACUGACAAUGGUCCCUUGCCACACUGGCAUGCCACGUAGGCAGCAAAUACACCCACGCGCGGGAAAUGUAACCGCAUUUGCACACCCGCGCAAGUUUGAUGAUCAGAAACACAUAUUUUACAAGUUUGUGCACCAAACUGACCAUCGCGCGCAAGUUGUAAGACUUCUAAUGUAUUUACCUCAAGAAAAAAAAAAC
RNAcentral lists this long non-coding RNA (46825 nucleotides) under Triticum aestivum (bread wheat). RNAcentral's name for it is "long non-coding RNA (TAES_LNC025581)". The stretch from base 372 to 458 matches the Rfam family "MIR1120/MIR1122 microRNA precursor family". The record is from RNAcentral. Lineage: Eukaryota; Viridiplantae; Streptophyta; Magnoliopsida; Poales; Poaceae.